Molecule: long non-coding RNA, 51690 nt
Filed under: Triticum aestivum (bread wheat)
Lineage: Eukaryota; Viridiplantae; Streptophyta; Magnoliopsida; Poales; Poaceae
Description: long non-coding RNA (TAES_LNC022175)
Rfam family: MIR1120/MIR1122 microRNA precursor family (bases 17706-17829)
Source: RNAcentral
UUUUUUUUUGUAACAGUGGAUGUUGACAUUUUUUAACCGGCAAAAAACUUUUUUAAAUGAAAAUAAUCCGGCCGAAAUAAGAAGAUGUACAUCCGCAAAAAAAAGAAAUAAGAAGAUGCUGUGAAAAGUUAAUGGAAAAAGAAAACAAUAGGAACUCGACGCGGAGCGACGCGUCCGCUUUACAGCCCUCGGAACAGAACAACGUUCGGGUCGGGACAAUUCAAAAGACCAAAUCAGACCGUUGGAGCCUCCUCCCCUGCGCCCACCUCUCCUCCCCUUAUUAAAACCUCGUCAUCCACCCGAGGAGAGAGAAUCCACCACGCCACCCACGCCACCGCCGCCGCCGCCGCCGCACCGGGUAGGUUUCGAUAUCUUGCUUUCUUGACGGUUCCUCGGCAGCGGCUCCUCGGCCUUCUCGAUCUGAUUACAACUCAUCUUCCUGUUUGCCUCCCCUCAGAUCCGCCUUUCCUUGCCUUGGUUGGCCGAUCGAUCCAUGGACCGCCGGCCGCCGCUCGCCGUCUCGCCUCGUCGGCUCCGCCCGCGGCCGAGCUACGCCGCCGCCGCCCGCCUGCCCUUGGCGUCCUCCUUCCACAUCCCCUCGCCAGGUACCACGUCGNNNNNNNNNNNNNNNNNNNNNNNNNNNNNNNNNNNNNNNNNNNNNNNNNNNNNNNNNNNNNNNNNNNNNNNNNNNNNNNNNNNNNNNNNNNNNNNNNNNNNNNNNNNNNNNNNNNNNNNNNNNNNNNNNNNNNNNNNNNNNNNNNNNNNNNNNNNNNNNNNNNNNNNNNNNNNNNNNNNNNNNNNNNNNNNNNNNNNNNNNNNNNNNNNNNNNNNNNNNNNNNNNNNNNNNNNNUUUUUUGGUUUUGCUCCGUCCUCUGGAUCUUUCUUUGGUGGAGUUCCUUCUGUUCGCGUUUCGAUCCUGUUGUUCGAUGCCUCAAGAUCCUGUUGUUUUGUUUAGUUUCAUUUACGGUCUCCAUCAGAAACCAGAUUGUUUCCUUCGCAGAUCUAUUCAAAAAUCCUCCCUGGUUCUGCAACCAGUUCUGUUUCUCUGAUGAUGAUAAAAGCACGAUUCGAUUCUUCUUUUGCACAAUCGUAGAAUAGAAUUGUUAACUUUUGAAUUCUCACAGAUUUGUUCUCGUUGUACUGUCCCGUCCGUUGCGCAGGAUUUAGCAAGAAAGCCCAGACUUCGAUGCGCUCGUCCAUCUGCGCUCUGCCGCCGCCGUCCUACCUCGAGACCAGCCCGCGCCCCAAGCCGGACUUCACUGUUGCGGCAAGAGCUGCGGGGAAGGAGAACCUCUGCUUCAACGACGACGACGAGGAGGCGGCGCCUUUCAACCUCGCCGACACGAGCACGGACGACUGGACAGCGGCGGUGGCGCCGACCAGCCCGCUGUUCGAGAGGGGCAGGCUCUACGACCUCUACUCCGCGCGGCGCAACGAGCGGCUCAAGCGCAAGCACGGCUGGUACGCCGCCGGCGAGGAGGAGGCGGGGGCCAUGGCCGAGGACCCUUGCGUGGCCGUGGAGCUGUCCAAGCGGCGGGGCGCCAAGAAGGCCGCGGCCCCCGAGUCCGCGGUGAGGAGGUCGAUGCCGGCAGCGACAGCAGAGUUCUCGCAGAGCCACAGGGCCGGCGGCGGCCUGAGCGCCAUGAGGUCCUCCCUGAGGAGCAGCAAGGAGAUGAAAAAGCCCUCCGCCGCGUCGUCCUGCGCCACUGCCGCCAAGCCCUCCGCGGCCAAGGGCAGGAGGGUCGGCGCGCAGUCGUCGGUUCGCAGGAUCUGAUGAUGAUCUGUGUGCUGCUGGAAAUGACAUGGUUCUUCUUCCUUGGUUCAUCGUUGGAUGGUUGGGUGUUGAUAAACAGUACUAGUGCUACUAGUGUGGAGUUUGGAACUGGUUUGGGGGCAAUAUAGCUGCGUAUUUGGUUACAUAAUUGAUAAUCCGAUUCGUUGUUUUCUCGUGCGCGUAUUCGGUUACAGAAUCUGAUAAUUUAGGGCCAUGAUUUAUUCUUGACGACUGAGGCAACAACACAGGCAAAAUGGUUUUUUUUUAACAUUAGUAAAGACGCAAGCGCUCAUACAUACGCGCAUACACUCACCCUUAUGAACGCACACACUCCCUUUUUCCUAUGAGCACCUUCAAAAGACUGAGGCGGCAUGUCAUCUUGAACGCAGGCAAAUUGGCUGAUUGGUUCAGUUUGUGAGGUGGUCAACUUGGAACGCCAGGAUCUUCAACCAUGUCUCGUCCUCCAUCAGUUGAUCACGUGUUCCAUAGUACUCCCUCCAUCCGAAAGUACUUGUCAAAAAAUGAUAAAAAUUGAUGUAUUUAUAACUAAAAUACAUCUAGAUUAUUUGUUCAACAAGCAUUUUCAGACAGAGGGAGUAUCAAAGAGCACAAAAACAUCGGAGGCGGUGGCUCGCGAUCGUUGGUUCAUAAGGCCUGUGAUUGCUCGGGCGGCGCGGCAUUGUGCUUUAGCUCAGGAGGCCCACACUGACCGUCCGCCGCCAUGUUUUUUUGGCUUGACUCCUUGGUUGUUGUGUUGCGUGGACUGGACCUUGCAGGCGGCCUCCCCCGGGUCCGUUGUCGGGACGAUGGAACGGGCCGGAAUGGUGGGAGCACGACGGCAAAUAAAUUUGAUCACCGUUGUUGGAUAACCAAAAAUAUCCACUUCGAAAUGAUCAAUAGAGGGCGAGCUCUAGGGAGCCUGUUUCUAAAAUCAUAUUUUCAUUGCGCAAAAUUAUUUUGAGAAAAUCCCCAAAAAUAUAUUUUUUGAAAAAUAAUUAUACAUACUAAAAUACAUGUAUAUCACGUUUGAGAAUAAGUUUCAUAACAAUAUAUUUCAUUCGUGGGGUAGACAAAAAGACAACUACAUACAUGUAAGUGCAUCUAGUGUCACCCCUAGUUGGUUUUGGAGUAUUGACGACAAAUCUGGUUGAGGGACUAAUGUGUUUUUGAGAAUUGCAGGAUAACACAGGUAGUAGUCCCUUAUUGAUUCGGUUUUCCUACCGGAGAUGACCUCUAAAAAUGUGUGAAGACAUUGAAGACAAUGGUGGUCUGUGAAGCUAUUCAUGUUGAAGACUAUGACAUGAGAAGACAUCGAGUGAAGGCUAUGGAGCGCAAAGACUUAGUUGUUUCGUUGUUUCCUUUUCUUCUUUGUUGAGUCAUAGGAACCACCGCACUGUUAAGUGGGGUCCAAGUGAAUAAAGUCAGAGUGACUGAAGUGAUGCUCAACCAAAUCCUAUGUCUUCGAGCGAAGACAAUGAGAGCAAAUCUUAUCCAGAGUCGGAUGAGUCAGCUUUACUUGUAGCCCAAGUCAAGCUGUCGCGUGUGUUUGAAAUCUGACCGAUGAGACACAUGUCAGUUCCUUAGUGACCCAGGGUCAUUUCGGACAAAUUAGGUUGGGUUGCCCAGUGGCUAUAAAUAGCCCACCCCCUACACCAUAAAUUGGUGGCUGCUCAGAGUUAGUACACAGCUUUUGUCGUUUGAGAGCAACCCACCUCCGAAGCAUUUGAGAGAGAAUCUUUGCGAGGACAAAGCCUAAACCACCCAGAGCCCAAAGAGCGUUUGGCAUCACUGAAGUCUUUCUAUCCGCUUGAUCUGAAGACUUGCUACACUUGAGGACUGUGAAUCCUCCAGCCGGUUAGGCGUCAUGUUCUAAGCAUCCAAGAGUCAUUGUGGAUUGUCGGUGAACGACUGUGAAGGUUUGAAAGUCUACCUUGAAGACUUACCAGAGUGAUUGGGCGGGGAAUAAGGUGAAGAAGCGUUCUUCUGAGUUGAAUCUCAGCCUCCCUAACCAGACGUACAGUUUCACAGCAACUGGAACUGGUCAAACAAAUCUCUGUCCUCCCGAAGCUACUGGUUCUAUCUCUCACUUCUCUUUACUUACAGUCUAUCUUCGUGAAGUUAUUGCCUGCUUGAUUUAUCUGUUUGACUUUACUGUGUGACUACUUGUCCUAAUUGGCUUCACACUAUCUUUCAUCCUGAUAUUUACUACCUAGCUGCUAAUAGUCUUCAUGCUUUCACUUCAUUGAAUACUUGACUAUGGCUUGUCUAGUGUAGUCUACCUUCCGCUGCAUUUGAAUAGUGUCAUUUGUAUUGUUUGUCUUCGAAACUCCCAUGUUUUGAAUACUUUCAUAAAAAUCGCCUAUUCACCCUCUUCUAGUCGAUAACUAGCCCUUUCAAUUCGUAUCAGAGCAAGAUACUCCCUUGUUUUGUGUGAUUCGGUUUAACCACCUGGAGUUUUAGCUAUGUCGACUACAGGGAUAGUCAAAGUCUCCGCUGCGUGCCCCAUCUUCGAUGGCACUGAAUAUCCCUACUAGAAGAAUAGAAUGCGCAUGCAUCUUGAAGCCAUUGAUGUCGAUCUAUGGUAUGUCGUCAAGAACGUCGUUCCCAAGACUGGUGAAGGUGUCACCCCAGCUGGUGUCAAGAAGUUCGUUCAACUGGACUACCGCCAAGAACAUCAUCUGUGGUCAUCUGACCAAAGGACGGUAUGGCCGUGUGAGUGCUCUGCAAACAUCAAAACUAGUCUGGGACUGGCUCUCCAAGGUCAAUGAAGGCGUCUCAACUCAGCGAGAUCAACGAAUCAAUACUAUCUGCAACCUCUUUAACCGUUCAAGAGACAUAACAAUGAGAACAUCCAGCUCACAUUUGAUCGCCUCACUGAUAUUACAAAUGAGCUCGAAGCACUCGGUGCCACUGAGAUUACGAAGCAUGAAAUAGUGAAGACACUACUGAGAUCUCUUGACAGCUCAUUUGACACCUUAGCCCUGAUGAUACAAGAAUGCCCUGACUUCAAGACUCUCGAUCCCUUUGACAUACUUGAGAGGCUCAACACACAUGAGUACCGGCUAUCUAAGAAACGAGAUAUCUAUGGCCCCAACUAUGGCCGAACUCGCGCUUUGAAGGCAAAUGUUGAUGCUUCCUCAUCUGAAGAAGAAUCUGACUGCAGUUCUGGUGAUCCUGAAGACAUUGGAAAGGAGCUUUCUAUGCUUAUGAAGAAGUUCCAGAAAUUCACCAAGAAGAAAGGCUUCAGAAAGUCUUCACGAUCCAGCUCAAGGAAUGAUGAAGCUUCUACCCAUGACCACAAGAAGAGAACCUGCCACAAGUGCAAGAAACCUGGUCACUACAUCUCUGAGUGUCCACAGUGGGACAAUGAGAAAAAGAAGAAGAAGAAGAAGAGCAAAGAAUAUGAUUUUGAUGACAACAACAAGAAGAAAUCCUCAAAGUCUUCUUCCAAGUCUUCAUCACACAAGAAGAGCUCAUCUGGCAAGGCUCGUGCUUUUGUUGGCAAGGAAAUGGAUUCAGAGGAGGAGUCUGCUUCUGAGGAGGCAGAGGUGGAGUCUGAGGAGGAGUCCGACUCUGGUGUUGCGAGUCUAGCUCUAGCUACAGCCUACGUCGCCAAGUCCAUCUUCAACACUGAAGACAAUGGCUCCGUCACCAAUGCUGAUGAUAAUGACAAGGACGACUCGGCUCCCACCUACUACUUCAUGGCAUGUGGUGCCAAGGUAAAAUCACGCGAUGCUUACUUUCAAACAUCAAGUGAAGAUGACUCUGAUGGUGAAUCCAAACCUAGCUACAAAACACUUGCUAAAAUUGCAACUAAACAACAGAAAGCUAUGGAACAUACUCAAAAACUGUUAGACAAAAGCGAUGACCUGUUGGACGCUGAAAUGACCAAGUCUCAGUCCUUAAUUAAAGACAUCAAAAAUCUUCAUGUUAAGUACCAGUAACUUGAAGGUCGACAUGAAUCGCUCUCAACUUCUCAUGAAAAGCUUUUCUAUGAUUAUCUUCAAAGGAAGCAGGAACUUGAGAAAUUGAGAUCAACUCAUGAAGAUCUUCAAAAGGAGAACGAGUCACUUCGCGCUCAACAGAUCAGUCCCGCUCAGGAAGGAUUUGAACCACCAUGUCUAAAAUGCAUUGAGCGUGACAACGCUGCCUCUGUUGUUGAAUGUUCUACUGCUACUACUGUUGCAAUAUCUUCAACUGCUGAUGUGGUAACUAACCCCUCUGCUGAGGAUACCACUACUAUUGCUGAUGAGAAUGCCAGGUUGAAGACACUGCUUAAGACAGGGAUGUACAAAAGUCUCAAAGGGCAUCAGACAUUAUGUGAUGUCCUCAAAAAGCAGAUUCUGAACCGAAACCCUAGGAAAGAGGGUGUUGGGUUCGAGAGGAAAAUGAAUGUUGAUGGGUCAUACUGGAAGCCUGAGCGGUACCCCAAAACCACAUGGGUUGCUGCAAAGGAACCUUCAGUAGAUCCAUCCACCUUAUCUGGUUUCACUUGUUCUAACCCUAUUAUCAUUGAUGAAUCCUUUGAUGCAAACUAUAAAUUGUUUAAGAAACAGAAUGGCGAAGUAUUUGCCAGGUAUAUUGGUACUAACUGCAGGAAUGGGCCACCUACGAAGAAGAUAUGGGUACCCAAAAGUUGUCUUGAGAAUCUUCCGGUGAAUGUCAUUUUGACACCACCUGAGAAGAAGACAAACCCCAUACCAAAGGAUUCAUAUGGUCCUAAAGCUUCAUACAGACUGAGGACUCAUCUGAGUCACCCUAAUGUCAAUGUUUUGUAGGGAAAUCAUACUCAGACCCAUGAAUAUGAGUGUGCUUCCUCGAACCGCUAUGUUCAUAGAACUAAGAACUUUUCUUCUUAUUCCUAUGAAUAUUAUUCACCUCAUGCAAGGCUAUUUACUAGGGCUCCAAAGCCGGAGUUCUCAGAUGCUGCACUUAGACUCAUUGCUUCUAAGCCACCCCUAAAAAUGUGGGUGGUUAAGAAAACUUAACUCUUUUUUGCAGGGAAAGGUCUCCAGCCGGAAAUCAAAGGCAUCCAAAACUAAUGCUGGGGACCUUAAACAUCUUGUGGGGCGCAAGAUAAAAUGCCCAAAUGGUCUUACUUUGUAUUCCCUUCCGGGAUUCCUUGACACUCAUCAUAUCUAUCCUAACCAAGAUCUGAAUUUCCAUGUUCCACUUGUUCGUCAAAUGUUUAUGCUUCACAACUCGCUUGGUGAAGCCUAUCCCCCAAACUGCACUGUAGGCUAUGACACCUCGUGCUUCAGAAUGGAUUAUGGAUAGUGGAUGCACUAACCACGUGACUGGCGAUCGAAGUCUUCUGAUGGAUUCAAAGCUACGUCCAUCAGACAAGAGUCACAUCACAUUUGCUGACACUGGUAAAAGCAAGAUAUUGGGUCUAGGUAGAGUUGCAAUAUCAAGGGAUCAGCACAUGGAUAAAGUGAUGCUUGUUGAAUCCCUUGGUUUCAACUUAAUGUCUGUCUCAAUGCUUUGUGACUUAAACAUGAUUGUGCUAUUUGGAAAAUAUUGAUGCCUUGUGCUAAUGGAAUCUGACAAGUCUCUAGUCUUUGAAGGGUAUCGAAAAGAUGAUCUGUAUAUGGUAGAUUUCUCAGCAGGACCAUAGAUGGCCGUAUGUCUUCUAGCAAAAGCUUCAUAGUGCUGGCUUUGGCAUCGAAGGCUAGGACAUGCUGGCAUGAGGAACUUGCACACUCUCGCGAAGAAGAAGCAUGUCGUGGGCAUCGAAGGCAUCAAGUUCAAGAAGGAUCAUUUGUGUGGUGCCUGCAAAGCUGGAAAGAUGACCAGGGCCAAGCAUCCCUCGAAGACAAUCAUGACUACAUCUCAACCCUUCGAGCUGCUACACAUGGACUUAUUUGGCCCUACUCACUACUCUACUCUCAAUGCUACUGCUUGCCUCUAUGGCUUUGUCAUUGUUGAUGAUUACUGUAGAUAUACUUGGGUGCAUAUAAUCCUCUACAAGACUGAAGUGCAGGAUGUCUUCAGACGCUUUGCGAAUCGUGCCAUGACAAACUAUGGCGUCAAGAUCAAGCACAUCAGAAGCGACAACGACACUGACUUCAAGAACACCGGCCUCGACCUUUAUCUGGAUACUUUGGGUAUUACUCAUGAGUUCUCUGCUCCUUACACACGUCAGCAGAAUGGCAUCACGGAGCGCAAGAACAUAACUCUUAUUGAGAUGGCCCGAAUGAUGCUUGAUGAGUACAAGACUCAACGGUAGUUCUGGCCUGAAGCCAUUGACACUGCAUGCCACAUCAUCAACCGUGUUUAUCUUCACAAGCUUAUGAAGAAAACAUCCUAUGAACUCCUGACUGGUAAGAAGCCAAAUGUAAGCUACUUCAGAGUAUUUGAUGCUAGGUGCUGGAUCAAGGAUCCACAUCACACUUCAAAAUUUGCACCGAAAGCACAUGAAGGUUUUAUGCUUGGUUACGGAAAGGAUUCGCACUCCUACAGAGUCUUCAACCUCUUUUACUACAAAGUGGUUGAAACUGUGGAUGUGUGGUUCGAUGAGACUAACGGCUCGCAAAGAGAGCACCUGCCAAAUGUGCUAGAUGAAGUACCUCCAAGUGAAUCAAUCAAGCAGAUGGGAAUUGGAGAGAUCAUACCAUCUAAGAAUCAGACUGAAGAAGAGCCUAUCAUUUCUGCACCUAAUCAACCUGAAGACAAUGCUCAGCCUGAAGACAAUCCCCCAAAUGAUGACAUUGAUCAGCAAGAGCAAAAUCUUUGUCCUGUUCAUCCUCGUGUUGCAAAUGAAGUUCAGAUUGAGAAGAUAAUUGACAACGUGAAUGCACCUGGUCCACUCACUCGUUCAAGAGCUACUUAAAGAGCAACACGGCUAACUUAUUUCUGUGGGCAUUUUGCAUUCGUCUCAAUCUCAGAACCAAAGAAAGUCGAUGAAGCCUUCACGGAACCUGAAUGGAUUCAAGCUAUGCAAGAAGAGCUUCAACAGUUCGAGCUGAAUAAUGUGUGGGAAUUGGUUAGGCGUCCUGAUCCUCGGAAGCACAAUAUCAUUGGCACCAAAUGGAUAUAUCGCAACAAGCAAGAUGAGCAUGGACAAGUCAUCAGAAACAAGGGUUGUCUCGUUACACAAGGUUACAGUCAAGUGGAAGGAAUUGACUUCGAUGAAACAUUUGCUCCGGUGGCAAGGCUUGAAGCCAUUCGCAUACUGCUAGCCUAUGCAAAUCAUCACAACAUCCUUCUGUAUCAAAUGGAUGUGAAGAGUGCUUUUCUCAAUGGAAAAAUAGAAGAAGAAGUAUAUGUCGCACAACCUCCUGGCUUUGAAGAUCCAAAACAUCCUGAUAUGGUAUACAAGCUCAACAAGGCACUGUAUGGCCUCAAACAAGCCCCUCGUGCUUGGUAUGACACGCUCAAGGACUUCCUGAAGAGCAAAGGCUUCAAACCUGGUUCACUAGAUCCUACACUCUUCAGGAAGACAUACGAUGGUGAACUUUUUGUGUGCCAAAUCUAUGUGGAUGAUAUUAUCUUCGGCUGCACCAACAGGAAAUACAGUGAUGAGUUUGGUCACAUGAUGCAAGAGUAAUAUCAGAUGUCCAUGAUGGGCGAGCUGAAGUUCUUCCUGGGUCUCCAAAUCAGUUAGCAACGCAACGGCAUCUUCAUAUCUCAAGAAAAAUACCUCAAAGAUUGCGUGUAGAAGUUUGGAAUGCAAGAUUGCAAAGGAUACACGAUGCUAAUGCCAACUAAAAGUCAUCUGGGUCCCGACGCCAAUGGUAAAGAGUUUGAUCAAAAGGUAUACUGCUCCAUGAUUGGUUCUUUGCUUUAUUUAUGUGUAUCUAGGCCAGAUAUAAUGCUUAAUGUUUGCAUGUGUGCCCGAUUCCAAGCGGCACCAAAGGAAUCGCAUCACUUAGCUAUGAAGCGAAUACUUCGAUAUUUGGCUUACACCCCAACACUAGGAUUAUGGUAUCCAAAGGGCUCAGAGUUUGACCUAGUUGGAUUCUCAGAUGCUGAUUAUGCUGGUGACAAGGUUAAUCACAAGUCCACAUCUGGUACAUGUCACUUUCUGGGACGAUCUCUUGUCUAUUGGUCUUCAAAGAAGCAGAACUGUGUAUCUCUAUCCAGUGAUGAAUCCGAAUACAUUGCUGCUGGAUCUUGCUGUGCUCAGCUUCUCUGGAUGAAGCAAACUCUCAAGGACUAUGGUAUCCACCUGAAGAAUGUUCCACUCUACUGCGACAAUAAGAUUGCCAACAACCCAGUUCAGCACUCGAAGACAAAGCACAUUAAAAUUCGUCAUCACUUUCUCAGAGAUCAUGUUAUGAAGGAAGAUAUUGAUAUCAUUCACGUCAACACUGAAGAGCAAUUGGCUGAUAUCUUCACAAAGCCCUUGGAUAAGAAAAGGUUUUGCAAGUUGCGUGUGAGCUAAAUAUCUUGGAAUCCUCAAAUGUCCUGUGAUUGGGCACACAUCCUAACACUUAUGCAUUUUGAUGACUUAGAUGUGCAACACACGAAGUAAUGUAUAUCUUCAAUUAAUGAAGACAUACACUCUAAGUGUGAAUACAUUAAUGCGGAAUUUGACUUCAGAGCGCCACGAUAAUUGUGCGCCGUGUCUGGGUCUAAUACUUCCUAUAUGGUGGGUAACGCCACCACCAAACUUUUGUUUGAAGUGUUUCCCUUGGCGUUACAUCUGCAAGGUCUUCGAAUUUGAUUUAUCUUCAUCCUUGACUUAUAUUCAAGUUUAUCUUCAUCUUGUUGAUUUGGUCUUAUACUAGUAUUCAUAUAUAUUUGUGUUCUGUCCUCUACAACAUUCACUUAUAGCUAUGAUUUCGUGCUGAAUCUUUCGGUCUAAGUGAAUGUGAUCGGACCCUAACCUAUCUAUGCUUCUACCUCAACUCUAUCUGUCCAAAUCAUAUGCAUUCUAUUGAAAACUGUCGAUUGUCUUCACUGAGACCUUGUCAGCUGAAGUCAAUCUGACAAACAUUUAUAUCUGUUUUUAAUGCUAUAUCCUUAUUGCCUGAAGGCCGGAGAAUUCGAAACGACCACCCCGACAAUCCAGGCGUGCGUGGGAACAUGGAACAACUUCCAAGGUGUUGCAUGCUUGCCACGUGCCCUUCAGAUGUGAACCGCUAGGGGCACCUGCGUAAUUGCGUUGUGCCGUCCCUUUCCUUAUAGACACCCAUCACAUCACGGUCAAAAAUCUUUCUUCCACCUCGCCACCUCUCGCGAACCCUAGCGCCACCGCUAGCUCUCGACGAUGCCGGUGACGAAGCGCUUAGCUGCCGCGGCUUCUCUGACACCGUCCUCACGCCGGCCGCGGACCUCGUCCUCUCCGCCGUCGCCAUAGGUGUCUUCCGUCGCCAAGUUAGGGCACGGAAGAUCGAACUACUCAGCCUCCAACUUUGCUGUGUCUAGCAGUUCUUCGUGUGGUAAUUAAAUCUCACUUUUUACCAUCUUUUCGAUCUGAUAGAUUCAUCCUUCUUUACCAAAAGCGGUUUCUAGAUCUCCAAAAUUGAAUCUAUCUCCUUCUGCAUCUCAUACUAUGCCUAGUCUGUUCACUUAUGCUUCUCUACAAGUUAGAUUCCUCACUUGUACUUAUUCUUGGAUUCAUACAAAUCUGGAACCAACUCUCAUCAAAUAAGUGAAUGUCUUCGCGUUAUGAGGUCAAUGUCUUCAAAUUGAUUUAUCUUCAAAAUCUUCUGAGAAUGCAUAUGACCUCUUCCCCUUCCCUCGCACCUCUAAUGCUAUCACAGGUACAUGUCUGUGGGAGAAUCCCUUGGUUCUCAUAGUCUACAUUCGUUUGCAGAAUUCUUACAGAGUCACAUAAAUUCUCCUGAAGCCAGUUCUUGUCUGACCAGCCGUCGGAAGCCUUUGCAAGUUCUGAAGCCUUUCAGGUUAAGCUUCAUGGCUACAGAGAAGUCAGCUAGAAAGGGUGGCAGACAGCACCGUGGGAAUACUUCCAAGGAUUUGCCACCAGAUUUGCACGAACUGUACAAGACAGACCCAGAGGAAACCUAUGGAGAACGCAAGAAUCGAAUCCAAUGUAUUCAAAGAUAUUGGGGAGAGGAAUGGUUCAAGUACAGAUUUGUCACUGAAGAGUAUGCCGAGAAGAAUGCCAUCAAGCGACCCUGGGGAGAUAUACUGUACAAAAAUCUUCCUCCCGGGUCCAAGACUGAAGCUAUUGAGCAAGGCUUCUAUCCGUGCAUGGUUCGUGGACCAGAGCCAGAGAACGCUGACCCUUCAUCUCUGUUGUGGUGUCGCGAAGACAGUCUGUUCAAGCGCAACUUCAAGUUCGCGAAAGACUCUGCUGUGAAGAACAAGAAGGCAUAUGGACUUGACUUCAACCCAGGCCCAUCUGCUCCUCGGGAAGAUGGCACCCGUGAAGCCAAUGAAAACAGAAUCGUCCCCUUCUACAACCUCGAAGGCCUCAUCACUCACAUUGCUGUCCAAGGAGCAAAUGUGGAUCACUCUGGUGAUGAUGCUGACUUUGAUGAUGCACCAGCUCCUCCUCCUAAGCCGCAGAAGCAAAAGAAAUCUAAGGCUUCCAAACCUACUGCUGCACCAAAAGCUUCUCGACUGAAGCCAUUGGCAACUGCCCCUCCUACUCCAAGUAACAAUUCUGAAGAUCUCUCUCGCAUAUCCAAGAAGCGAGAGAAGACACAGAAUAAAAAUGUUCAAAGUUUUGGUCAAGCCCUGACACCUGUUGCCGUUCUGAGGAACGAAACUGAAGCCAUUGAUCUGUCAUCAGAUGAUGAGUGUGGAGAUGAUGCUCUUGAGUAGAUGAUAAAGAGCAAGCAAGAGGCUGAGAUCUUCAAUGAUCUGCCCCUCUUCGACGUCAACAUUCUGGAUAACUUCAUUGAUGAGUGGUUUGACAACCCCAAUCUCAGCUUUGAUGAUCUUCAGGUCCCAUUUGGCAUCAGCGUCUCUUUCCAAGCCACCAUUGCUCCUGAGCUGGCUCUGGCUCAGCGAAUUGUUCAACUGAAGAACAAAACUGAUCUUGAGAAAGAACAGUUCAAGAAGCACAUGGCCAAGCUCAGCGUGGCUGAUGUUCAGAAAUUCAAACUGAUGUUGAAUGACCUCAAGGAUGCAUUUCGCAAGAAACGUGAAGAAGCCAAAGGUUCGCGCGAGCGCAUGAAGAAUCUAGCUGCCAAGUGUGUUCAAGCUUACAAUGAAGCUGAGAAGCGCAAGGCACUUGGGCGUCCUGGCAUCGACCCCAAGCUGGCUGCCAAGAAGAAGAAGCCUAUUGUGGCCCAAACUAAAGCUCCAAGGAGGGAAGAACGUCGCAUUGUCUUCCCUGCCAGUAUGCCAGGCUCGAAGCCUAAGGUCCUCACAAUGGCUUUAGAACAGAAGAAAACCAAGGCAGCUGAAGCCGAAGCCAGAAAGCGCAAACUCAAGAACACCACUGAUGAUGCACCACCCACCAAGAAAAGAAAGACCAAGAAGAAAGAUCGGGCUUCUCCCACAGAGCCCCUUGUUGUCGAGCCUAUUGCUUUUGCUCGUCCUGCAUCUGAAAACUAAGAGCGUCAGUUGAUAGUUCAUGAGCCUGCUUCCGCAGAGGCUCCUGAAACUGAAGAAGUUCUAGCCGUUGACCCCAUCACGGCUAAAGACAUUGGUCCCCAAGACAAUGUCGUAGAUGAUGAAGUCCUUCCUCAGAUCGAGCGCCCAACGGUAUCAUCGCCUGUUCUCACGAACAGCAAACUCAUCAGUAUUGGUCGUCCUUUGACACCAAUCUCUCAGGAUGCCUCAUGGGCUGAUCACCCCCAACCAGCAACUCCAAGUCAAGACUCAGCAAGUACACCCCAUCCUCCACCAGCGCAAGUCACCAUCCCAAUGGUGAAUGACGACAAUUACAUGGAGACCACACCUUCACCAAAAGCGUCGCCCCGUGUUCCAACGGCUUCGCAAAGGCCCAAGGCCACCAGUCUCCAUGACAACCAUCACAGAAGAAGAUUCAAACCAAUCCAGCUGAGUGGCACGUCAAGUGUUCCCUGAAGAAAAUCCCUCUGUGACGGUUCCCACGUCUGAAGCCACUGCUGCUGAAGACAAUCCGGCUGCAUCAGCCGAUGAAAGACAAGAAGAAGAACGUGUUGCUACACCCCCUACCAACCAAGAAGUUGUUCUCGAGGAGAAUGUGUCUGUGCCCGACCCUCCAGCUACUCAAGUGGAGGUUGAAAAUCCUGAGGCGGCCACCAACAACACUACUGAAGCCAAUGACGUUGUCAUGGCUGAAGAUAAUGUAGCGCCUGUAAUGAACACCGUGCAUGAAGCCAGUGAUGCACCUGCAACAAAUGUGCAGCUUGACGCCUUUGCUUAUGCCACUGCUCCUGUUCCACCACCAAGGCCACAUACUAUUGAGCAAGCAUUUUACCAAGGCGAGCUUGUCACUGUCAGAUGGCUAAUUCUGGUUCCUCCGCCUACUCCCGGACCUCAGUUUGACUAUCAUGUGGAGCACAGGCCUCAGGUUCAGAAGCCAAAACCGAGGCUACCAAGGUUUCUAGGUACUGCAUCUGCGCCAGGAUCAUUCAAUGUCAAUCGCUUCAUUGCACACAACACAUUCUUCGAUAGAGCCAAGAACCCAUAUUCCAAGCCAAGAAUAUCAUCUGAUCGGUUCUGGAGCUAUCAGCAGCGCAUCUAUUACUCUUGUGUUCUAUACAAUCAAGGGCGCAUAUUUCCUCAUAUGCGUCUGGAUUCUGAAGCCAUUGCUGGCCUGCCCUGCUUAGAAGGAGCCCUUGACUGUUUCCGAGAUGCAGGCCUUCUCCAGUUUGUGACAGAUAAGGAGAAUUGGGAUGAAGAGCUUCUGCUGCAAUUCUAUGCCACUCUCCACAUUCGUGGCUACAACAGGGAUCCGAAGACAUGGGUCCCUGAGUGGAUGACAGGCAAUGUCCAUCAUGAAGCCAAAGCUCUUGACCUCAUUGAGCUUACUGGCCUAUCCACUCCACGUGAACUCUAUGAACCUGGUUGUCAGCAUCACCGCAAUGCAUUGGAAAGCAUCUUUUAGAAGCCUGAGCCCAAUAUGAGUCACAUGCUGAGUAUGAUGAAGCCACUACCAUAGGAUGUUGAAUAUCCUAAGGAAUUUUUUGUUGAAGACCUGGAGUAUCUACCCCACACCAUCUAUCACAUUAUCAGGCGAACUCUAUGACCCAUCAAAGGACAUUCUUCCUCAGCAAAGCUCGAAGGCGCAAUGAAGACAUUGGUCUUCUACAUUCUCAAUGGUAUCAGCUUCAAUGCUCAGGAUUUCUUCAUUUGCCAAUUUCCUGCAUCUGGCUCAGACAUAUUUGGUAUGAAAUUCCAUGCUCCAUGGGUUAUGUGACUGAUCAAGCUUCACUCUGUUGUUGACUAUCAGCCCUCUGCACGCAACCAUCUCAUAUUUCUGCCAGAGGUUGAUAUGUCCGUCGAAGCCAUUUACCUAGAGCCCGCCAAGGAGGCAAUUUAUCUUCACAAUGUCGAUCGUCAUAGUUUAUCUCAGCAUGUUGAAGGUGUUCAGGUUGCUUCUCGUGUUUAUCCGCUGGCCAACAAUACUCGUCGUGCACGGACUGAAGCCAUAGAAAACACUAUUGCUCCAAGGCCUCGGAAGUGAUCUCGUGUGCUCAAUGACCGAGAGCUUCUCGUGGCCUUGCAUCAGAAACACGACAAGCAUCACUACUGGCUAAAGCGUCAAAUGCAAAGCCUCUUGGUGGAUAUCAAUCGCAUUCGCAACCUUGCCACCAAGAAUGCCUUUGUCACUCAUGAAACCUGUCGGAGAUCUUGGAAGAGUUUGACUUUGCUCAGUGCUGAAGCUGAUCUUCAAGACGAUGGCUUCACAAAGAGAUUCAAGUUCGACACCACUCCUCCCAGGAAUGCUGUCUUGCGUCGAACUCCGUCCCUUGAAGAUUCAGAGUACUCCUCCUCCUUGGCCACUGUUAAUGCCAGAGUCCUUGAUGACGCCGAUGAUGCUACUACACCACCUCCAACUUCGGCGCGUAUCGACACUGCACAAGGUUCAUCUGCACCACCAACUCUCAACGACGACCCUGCUGCCUCACCUACUCCUCAUGGGAACGAGUAGAAACUAUGUCUUCAAACCUUUUUGGUCCUUACUGACAAAAGGGGGAGAAGCAUAUGUUGAUAGUCUUCAAGCGGGUCUAUAUGGGUGGUUGCUAUACUUUUGCCUUGUGUUACAACUCUUGCUUUUGAUACAUUUGGUUUUUUGAGUUGUAACACUUAAACUUGAUGGUCGUCUGCUACCUUUUUUGCUAUUCUGUGAUGCAACGAUAACUUCCACAUGUGCGAUGAUAAAUCCCUCAUAAAGUCAUUCCGCAGACGUCCAUUUUUCAUUAUGCAUGUCAUUAUUCCUGUAUAUCUGUUCAUGCAUGAUGUAUUGUCUUCAUACGGUGAAGAGGAUCUCUAGAAGUACAACCUGCCAUGUGCAUUUGCAUUCCAACACAAAACAUUUAUAUGCACAUCUUCAGGGGGAGCCUUUUUGCCACCUAUGAAGACAAUAUCUUAAUCCUUUACAAUUCCACACGCUUUUAUCCCCGUUGAAAACUUCAACCAGUUUGUCAUCAGUCACCAAAAAGGGGGAGAUUGUAAGUGCAUCUAGUGCCACCCCUAGUUGGUUUUGGAGUAUUGACGACAAACCUGGUUGAGGGACUAAUGUGUUUGUGAGAAUUGCAGGAUAACACAGGUAGUAGUCCCUCAUUGAUUCGGUUUUCCUACCGGAGAUGACCCCUAAAAAUGUGUGAAGACAUUAAAGACAAUGGUGGUCUGUGAAGCUAUUCAUGUUGAAGACUAUGACAUGAGAAGACAUCGAGUGAAGACUAUGGAGCGUGAAGACUUAGUUGUUUCGUUGUUUCCUUUUCUUCUUUGUUGAGUCAUAGGAACCACCGCACUGUUAAGUGGGGUCCAAGUGAACAAAGUCAGAGUGACUGAAGUGAUGCUCAACCAAAUCUUAUGUCUUCGAGCGAAGACAAUGAGAGCAAAUCUUAUCCAGAGUCCGAUGAGUCAGCUUUACUUGUAGCCCAAGUCAAGCUGCCGCGUGUGUUUGAAAUCUGACCGUUGAGACACGUGUCAGCUCCUUAGUGACCCAGGGUCAUUUUGGACAAAUCAGGUCGGGUUGCCCAAUGGCUAUAAAUAGCCCACCCCCUACACCAUAAAUUGGUGGCUGCUCAGAGUUAGUACACGGCUUUUGUUGUUUGAGAGCAACCCACCUCUGAAGCAUUUAAGAGAGAAUCCUUGCGAGGACAAAGCCCAAACCACCCAGAGCCCAAAGAGCGUUUGGCAUCACUGAAGUAUUUCUGUCCGCUUGAUCUGAAGACUUGUUACACUUGAGGACUUUGAAUCCUCCAGCCGGUUAGGCGUCACGUUCUGAGCAUCCAAGAGUCAUUGUGGAUUGCCGGUGAAUGAAGUCUGUGAAGGUUUGGAAGGCUACCUUGAAGACUUACCAGAGUGAUUCGGUGGGGACUAGGUGUCCUUAGCUCAAGGGGAAUAAGGUGAAGACGCGGUCUUCUGAGUUAAAUCUCAGCCUCCCUAACCAGACGUACAUUUGUCACAGCAACUGGAACUGGUCAAACAAAUAUUUGUCCUCCCGAAGCUACUGGUUUUAUCUCUCACUUCUCUUUACUUAUAGUCUGUCUUCGUGAAGUUAUUGCAUGCUUGAUUUAUCUGUUUGACUUCACUGUGUGACUACUUGUCCUAAUUGGCUUCAUACUAUCUUCCAUCCUGAUCUUUACUACCUAGCUGCUAAUAGUCUUCGUGCUUUCACUUCAUUGAAUACUUGACUAUGGCUUGUCUAGUGUAGUCUACCUUCCGCUGCAUUUGAAUAGUGUCAUUUAUACUUUUUGUCUUUGAAACUCCCAUGUUUUGAAGACUUUCAUAAAAAUCGCCUCUUCACCCCCCUCUAGUCGAUAACUAGCCUUUCAAUACAUAAAAAUGGGCCAACUUUGUUGUUGUUGUUGUUGGCUGGGAUUUUGUUUUCUUUUUGUACAGCUUGCAAAUCAUAAUACUCCCUUCGUCCGGAAUUGCUUGUCAUAGAAAUGAGGAAAAUGGAUGUAUUUAGAACUAAAAUACGUCUACACACAUCCAUUUCCCCGACAUGUAUUUUCGAGCGGAGGGAGUAUUUUUUAACGAAAUUUUGUAGAUCCUUCACGAAUAUGUAUAAGUUUUCACAAAUUUUUCUAUUUCUAUUGAUACGUGGAAAUAUCAUUUUUAAAGUUUUUGAAAAAAAGGGCUCCUGUAGACCGUCUUCCAAAAAUCCGCACUUCCCAUUUCUACAAGUAUUUAUUCCGGCUUGCAUUUUAGGAUGAGCUCUACAAGUCCUUCAUAAUCACACAGAAGAGCGGGGAGGAGCUGACAAUCUGGGUCUUUGAAGACGAUUAUAAAGACAAAUUGAAUAAUUCCAUGAAGAGUGUUCUCUUAGAGCAACUCUGUUUCUCUGACGCGAUAAAAACCUGGCGUUGGACCGGAAGAAAGCACAGUUUCACGGCCACCCCUUGGGCCUGGGCUGAUCUACACAAAGCCCAUGAGGACACAGACACAGAACGCGUUGCGAUUACAGCCCAUCUUACUUACUGUCUACGUAAAUCUGUGUCCUAGAAUAAGGAAAAACCGCCGCUCUAUGCGACAAAUAGUCGGGGUUCCGCACAGGCGCGAUCAACGAGCGCUCAGGAUGGGCCGGCCUGUUAACGUAACAACUGGUUUUGUGAACCUUCUAUGAAAGUUCCUUGCCUGGUUUUCCGGUUUUGGAACCUUCUAGAAGGUUCCUGGACCGGGUUUUCUUUUUAUAUUUAUUUUUUAGCAUUUCUUUUCGAUUAAUCUUUCCUUUUUUGUUUUUUUUCUAUAUUUUUUCAGUUUUUUUCUAUUUUCUUUCUUCUUGCACUUUACAUUUUGAUUUUUUUCCUAUUUUCAUGGAAUAGUUUAGAAUUUUUCAAAAGGGAAAUUUUAGAUUUUUUUCAUCAUUUUUUAGAAAAUGUUCCUAUUUUCAAAUUUUUCUUCAGAAAUUUCAUAAAAGUUUAGAAUCUCAAUAAUUGUUUGCUUAUUUUAAAAAAGUUCAAAAUUUCAGAAAGUGUUUGUCUUUUUAAAUUUUGUUCACAAACUAAAAAAAGUUCGCUUCUUUAGAAGUAUGUUCCUGCUUUCAAAUUUUGUUUAAAAAUUCAAAAAAUAUUCAUGUUUCCAAAUUUGUUCACGAAUUCAAAAAAUGUUCACAUUUUCAAAUUUUGUUCACAGAUUAGAGAUUGCUCAGGAGUUUAUAAAAGUGUUCCCAUUUUUAAAAAUUGUUCACAAAUUCCAAAAAUGUUCCCUUUUUCAAAAUUUGUUCUCAAGUUCAGAAAACUUUCAAAUUUUUUCAGUUUUGUUCACAUAUUCAAAAAAAUCUAGGGAUUUUAGAAAAUGUUCCUGUUUCCAAAAUUGUUCACAAAUUCAAUAAAUGUUCACAAAAUCAAAAAAAUCCGGUUUUCAAAAUUUGUUCACAAAUUCAGAAAACUUUCACAAUUUUCAAUUUUGUUCCCAUAUUCAUAAAAAUACGAAAUUUAGAAAAUGUUCAUGCUUUCCAAAAAAAUCACCAAUUCAAUAAAUGUUCAUUUUUCGAAAAAUUGUUCACAAAAUUUAUAAAAUGUUCCCGUUUUCAAAAUUUGUUUACAAAUUCAGAUAAUUUCACAUAUUUCAAAUUUUUCACAUAUUCAAAAAAAUCUGGGAAUUUUAGAAAUUGUUCCUGUUUUGCAAAUUUGUUCACCAAUUCAAUAAAUGUUCAUUUUUCAAAAAUUGUUCACAAAUUAUAAUAUGUUUGGGAAUUUAAGGGAUGUUCCAAUUUCCAAAAGAAAAUCCGAAAUUAAGAAAAGUUCCUUUUUUUGAAAAUGUUUUCGUUUGUCAAAAACUCUUUUACAAAGUUGAGAAGUGUUUGUGUUUAAAACACUCAGGGUUUUUUCAAAAAAAGCAUUCGGAAUUCUUAAAAUAUGUCGGAUUUGGGCGUAUGUUGCUUCUUAAAGUUUUACGUUGCCUUAUGUUCAAUAAAUAGUAGCUCAGCAGGUAGUAUUUUGCGGUCUAUUGGUUAAGAUCUCGUGUUUGAUCCCUGCUAAGGGCGGCUUAAUUUUUUAGCUACUCUGAGUUUUGCAGAAAUCAGCAAAUCUGUGGCCGAAGAAAGCAUGCAGCUAAGGGGCAUGUACAAUGGUUGAUAAGAGCAAGUACAAUAGAGCUUAGUCAGCGGGCUAUAAGGAAUAAACUAGUAUAUUUCUGCUUAGUUGGAAGAAAGAGAAGAGGAGAGAGAAGGUAAGCGGACUCUUCGUGAAGAGCCAGCUUUAGCACAUGCUCCUAGGCACUUUGUGAGAAUGAAAUGUGGGCCACAUAAUAACACUUUGUUGAUCUACUAUUGUACAUGUUAGCUAUAAGAUGGGCUGUAGAUGACGUGGCACUGGCUUAUAGUCAGCAGCUGGCUAUACUAUUAACCAUGCUCUAAGGUGAUAUUAUUAUUUUAGAUGAACAGGGAUGUCCCCCCUCCCCGGUUCCAUUACUCAGCAUGAAAACAAAACUCGGUCUCCUGUUAUACAACAGCUCACUUAGAGGAGCAGUUCAGCCUAAAAACGACACUACGAUUUUGAAAGAGUAAACCGGGAAUACAGAUCUUUGAAAAGAUCAAACGGCACGCAGGCCCAAACUAGAGUAACACCAAUCAGAUUGAAAUCUCCAGGUUUGCAUCCGCUUCCAUCUCUGCAGCUUUCCUGAGCUUGAAUGGUGGUGCUGAGGCUGCUUGAGGAGACUUUAUAUAUUUAGCAGGCAAGCAUCGAUACUGGGCUGCUUAGCAAGUUUUUGCUCUUCAGGGCACUCUGCUUUUUUGGGGAAUGGAAACGCCAGUCAUCGUCAGAGAUCUUCAGCUUGCCCCACUGAUUCACGACCCCAUCCUUCAUGCAACCCUCCAGCAUCAGCCACUCGUUAUUCUCAGCGGUUGUAGCAAGAAAGCUGUUAGCGCUGUCAGGAAAAUCUCCAGAUGAGCCUUGCCACUUUCUGGCACCAAGAUCGCCCAGAACUUGAGGGUUCUGAGGAUCAACCUCCAAACCUGCAAAAUCGAUGUCCAAAUGGUGUUGUUAAAGAUUAUAGAGUUCCUAUACUUCCACAAACACGAGAGGACAACCGAUGAGACCAUGUCUAGAGCAGAAUUCUUCUUAUUAGAUACCCAAAAUCUGGCAACAGAUUCAUACUCUAUUCCUAUCCUGACGUGAAAGUGGUCAGCCACAAACGACCAAAUGUUUUUUGCUACGAUGCAUUCAAAAACCAAGUGAGUGUUAGUUUCCUGUUCAGAGCAAAAGACACAAUCCAGAGGUUUAAUGAUGUGCUUUUUCCUCAGGUUGUCUCUGGUCAUCAACUUGUUAUACGAGAAAAGCCACAAGAAAACAUGGAUUUUCGGGGGCACAUAAAGUUUCCACACCGUAGGGAUGAAAACUGGUUGCACCCCACGAAAAUUUAUCACAUGAUACAGAGAGCUUGAGGAGUACCAACCCUUGCUCUCAAGCUGCCAUAUCAGCGAGUCUAUGUCCUCACAGAGAGCAAUGCUUCUGGCACAUUCUACUAGGUGGUGUCAUUGCUCCAUGAGUUUAUCAUCAAAGUUCCUUCUGAAGGUCAGCUUGAGAGUUUCCCCAUCCCAGACUUCUUUAAUAGUUCUAGUUUGCUCAUUACAGACUAAGUACAUAGAACAGAAUUGGGUAGUUAGAGGGGAGGUCCCAAACCAGGUAUCUUCCCAGAAUCAAAUCCUCUCACCAUUACCUACUUUCCAUCUAAAUCCAAACUUCAGGUUUUGGAUGAUGGAUUGGAAUCCCUUCCAAAAUCUAGAAGAGUUUGGAGUAGGGUUAAUGUUGGGGAACGUAGCAAAAAUUCAAAAUUUUCUAUGCAUCACCAAGAUCAAUCUAUGGAGAUACUAGCAACGAGAGAGAGGGGAGUGCAUCUUCAUACCCUUGAAGAUUGCUAAGCGGAAGCGUUACAAGAACGUGGUUGAUGGAUCGUACUCGCGGCGAUUCAAAUCGCGGAAGAUCCGAUCUAGCGUCGAACGGACGGCGCCUCCGCGUUCAACAGACGUACAGCCCGGGGACGUCUCCUCCUUCUUGAUCCAGCAAGAGGAGAGGAGAAGUUGAGGGAGAGCUCCGGCAACACGACGGCGUGGUGGUGGAGCUUGCAGUUCUCCGGCAGAGCUUCGCCAAGCACUACGGAGGAGGAGGAGGUGUUGGGGAGGGAGAGGGCUGCGCCAGGGGAAGGGUGAAGCUCCCAUGCGCCUCCCCCCUAUAUAUAGGGGUGGAGGGGGCUGGUUUCUUGCCCUCCAAGUCCAUUGGGGCGUUGGCAAAGGUGGGAGGAAAGAAAUCCCAUCAUUUCCUUCCCCACCGAUUGUUAUCCCCCCUUUUUUAGGGAUCUUGAUCUUAUCCCUUCGGGAUAUGAUCUUAUUCCUUCUAAGGGGGGAUCUUGGUGCACCUUGACCAGGGGUGUGGGGCCUUUCCCCCACUACCCACGUUCAUGUGGGUCCCCCCAUGCAGGUGGGCCCCACUCCGGAACCUUCUAGAACCUUCCCGGUACAAUACCGAAAAAUCCCGAACAUUUUCCGGUGGCCAAAAUAGGACUUCCCAUAUAUAAAUCUUUACCUCCGGACCAUUCCAGAACUCCUCGUGACGUCCGGGAUCUCACCUGGGACUCCGAACAACAUUCGGUAACUGCACACUAAUUCCCAUAACAACUCUACCGUCACCGAACCUUAAGUGUGUAGACCCUACGGGUUCGGGAAUCAUGCAGACAUGACUGAGACAGCUCUCUAGCCAAUAACCAACAACGGGAUCUGGAUACCCAUGUAGGCUCCCACAUGUUCCACGAUGAUCUCAUCGGAUGAACCACGAUUUCAAGGAUUCAAGCAAUCCCGUAUACAAUUCCCUUUGUCUACCGGUAUAGUACUUGCCCGAGAUUCGAUCGUCAGUAUCCCGAUACCUUGUUCAAUCUCGUUACCGGCAAGUCUCUUUACUCGUUCCGUAACACAUCAUCCCGUGAUCAACCCCUUGGUCACAUUGUGCACAUUAUGAUGAUGUCCUACCGAGUGGGCCCAGAGAUACCUCUCCGUCACACGGAGUGACAAAUCCCAGUCUUGAUUUGUGCCAACCCAACAGACACUUUCAGAGAUACCCGUAGUGUACCUUUAUAGCCACCCAGUUACGUUGUGACGUUUGGUACACCCAAAGCAUUCCUACUGCAUCCUGGAGUUGCACAAUCUCAUGGUCUAAGGAAAUGAUACUUGACAUUAGAAAAGCUUUAGCAUACGAACUACACGAUCUUUGUGCUAGGCUUAGGAUUGGGUCUUGUCCAUCACAUCAUUCUCCUAAUGAUGUGAUCCCGUUAUCAAUGGCAUCCAAUGUCCAUGGUCAGGAAACUGUAACCAUCUAUUGAUCAACGAGCUAGUCAACUAGAGGCUUACUAGGGACAUGGUGUUGUCUAUGUAUCUGCACAUGUAUCUGAGUUUCCUAUCAAUACAAUUAUAGCAUGGAUAAUAAACGAUUAUCAUGAACAAGGAAAUAUAAUAAUAAUAACUAAUUUAUUAUUGCCUCUAGGGCAUAUUUCCAACAGUCUCCCACUUGCACUAGAGUCAAUAAUCUAGUUCACAUCGCCAUGUGAUUAACACUCACAGGUCACAUUGCCAUGCGACCAACAUCCAAAGAGUUUACUAGUGUCAAUAAACUAGUUCACAUCAUCAUGUGAUUAAGACUCAAUGAGUUCUGGGGUUUGAUCAUGUUUGCUUGUGAGAGAGGUUUUAGUCAACGGGUCUGCAACAUUCAGAUCCGUAUGUACUUCGCAGAUCUCUAGGUCAUAUUUGUAAAUGGUGCUUCCACGCUCCACUUGGAGCUAUUCCAAAUGGUUGCUCCACUAUACGUAUCCGGUUUGCUACUCAGAGUCAUUCGGAUAGGUGUUAAAGCUUGCAUCGACGUAACCCUUUACGCCGAACUCUUUAUCACCUCCAUAAUCGAGAAACAUGUCCUUAUUACUCCAAGGACAAUUUUGACCGCUGUCCAAUGAUCCAUUCCUGGAUCACUCUUGUACCCCUUUGCCAGACACGUGGCAAGCCACACAUCAAGUGCGGUACUCAGGAUAGCAUACUGUAGAGCCUACGUCUAAAGCAUAGGGGACGACCUUCGUCCUUUCUCUCUCUUCUGCCGUGGUCAAGCUUUAAGUCUUAACUGCAUACCUUACAACUCAAGCAAGAACUCCUUCUUUGACUGAUCCAUCUUGAACACCUUCAAGAUCAUGUCAAGGUAUGUGCUCAUUUGAAAGUACCAUUAAGUGUUUUGAUCUAUCCUUAUAGAUCUUGAUGCUCAGUGUUCAAGCAGCUUAAUCCAGGUUUUCCUUUGAAAAACUCCUUUCAAACAACCCUUUAUGCUUUCCAGAAAUUUUACAUCAUUUCGGAUCAACAAUAUGUCAUUCACAUAUACUUAUCAGAAAUGUUGUAGUGCUCCCACUCACUUUAUUGUAAAUACAAGUUUCUAACAAACUUUGUAUAAACCCAAAAACUUUGAUCACUCCAUCAAAGCGUAUAUUCUGACUCCGAGAUGCUUGCUCUAGUCCAUGGAAGGAUCGCUGGAGCUAGCAUACCUUUUAGCAUCCUUAGGAUCGACAAAACCUUUCUGAUUGUAUCACAUACAACCUUUCCUUAUGAAAACUGGUAAGGAAACUUGUUUUGACAUCCAUCUGCCAGAUUUCAUAAAUGCAGCUAAUGCUAACAUGAUUCCGACGGACUUAAGCAUCGCUACGGAUGAGAAAAUCUCAUCGUAAUCAACUCCUUGAACUUGUGAAAAAACUCUUCGCCACAAGUCGAGCUUCAUAGACGGUGACAUUACCGUCCACGUCUAUCUUCUUCUUAAAGAUUCAUUUAUCUCAAUGGCUUGCCGAUCAUCGGGCAAGUCCACGAAAGUCUAUGCUUUGUUCUGAUACAUGGAUCCUAUCUCGGAUCUCAUGGCUUCUAACCAUUUGUCGGAAUAUGGGCCCGCCAUCGCUUCUCCAUAGCUCACAGGUUCAUUGUUGUCUAGCAACAUGACCUUCAAGACAGGAUUACUAUACCACUCUAAAGUAGUACGCAUCCUUGUCACCCUACGAGGUACGGUAGUGAUUUGAUCCGAAACUUCAUGAUCACUAUCAUAAGCUUCUACUUCAAUUGUUGUGGGCACCACAGGAACAACUUCCUGUGCCCUGCUACACACUAGUUGAAGUGACGGUUCAAUAACCUCAUCAAGUCUCCACCAUGCUCCCACUCAACUUUCCGAGACAAACUUUUCCUCGAGAAAGGACCCGAUUCAAGAAACAAUCCCUAUUUCUUUCGGAUCUAAAUUAGGAGGUAUACCCAACUGUUUUGGGUGUCCUAUGAAGAUGCAUUUUAUCCGCUUUGGGUUCGAGCUUAUCAACCUGAACUUUUUCACAUAAGUGUCGCAGCCCCAAACUUUUAAGAAACGACGACUUAGGUUUCUCCAAACCAUAGUUCAAACGGUGUCGUCUCAACGGAAUUACGUGGUGCCCUAUUAAAGUGAGUGUGGUUGUCACUAAUGCCUAACCCAUGAACGAUAGUGGUAAUUCAAUAAGAGACGUCAUGGUACGCACCAUAUCCAAUAGGGUGCAACUAUGAUGUUCGGACACACCAUCACACUAUGGUGUUCCAGGCGGAAUUAAUUGUGAAACAAUUUCCACAAUGUCUUAAUUGCGUGCCAAAGCUCGUAACUCAGAUACUCAUCUCUAUGAUCAUAUCAUAGACAUUUUAUCCUCUUGUCACGAUGAUCUUCAACUUCACUCUGAAAUUACUUGAACCGUUCAACAAUUCAGACUUGUGUUUCAUCAAGUAAAUAUACUCAGUAUCUACUCAAAUCAUCCGUGAAGUAAGAACAUAACGAUAUCCAUUGCGUGCCUCAGCACUCAUUGGACUGCACACAUCAAAAUGUAUUACCUCCAACAAGUUGCUUUCUUGUUCCAUUUUACUGAAAACGAGGCUUUCAGUCAUCUUGCCCAUGUGGUAUGAUUUGCAUGUCUCAAGUGAUUCAAAAUCAAGUGAGUCCAAACGGUCCAUUUGCAUGGAGUUUCUUCAUGCAUAUACACCAAUAGACAUGGUUCGCAUGUCUCAAACUUUUCAAAAACGAGUGAGUCCAAAGAUCCAUCAACAUGGAGCUUCUUCAUGCGUUCUAUACCAAUAUGACUUACAUGGCAGGGCCACAAGUAGGUGGUACUAUCAUUACUAUCUUAUAUCUUUUGGCAUGAACAUGUGUAUCACUACGAUCGAGAUUCAAUAAACCAUUCAUUUUGGGUGCAAGACCAUUGAGGUAUUAUACAAAUAAACAGAGUAACCAUUAUUCUCCUUAAAUGAAUAACCGUAUUGCGAUAGGCAUAAUCCAAUCAUGUCUAUGCUCAACGUAAACACCAAAUAACAAUUAUCUAGGUUUAACACCAAUCUCGAUGGUAGAGGGAGCAUGCGAUGCUUGAUCACAUCAACCUUGGAAACACUUCCAACACAUAUUGUCAGCUCACCUUUAGCUAGUCUCCGUUUAUUCCGUAGCUUUUAUUUCGAGUUACUAACACUUAGCAACCGAACCGGUAUCUAAUACCCUGGUGCUACUAGGAGUACUAGUAAAGUACACAUUAACAUAAUGUAUAUCCAAUAUACUUCUAUCGACCUUGCCAGCCUUCUCAUCUACUAAGUAUCUAGGCUAAUUCUGCUCCAGUGAUUGUUCCCCUUAUUACAGAAGCACUUAGUCCCGGGUAUGGGUUCAACCUUGGGUUUCUACACUAGAGCAGCACAUGAUUUGCCGUUUCAUGAAGUAUCCCUUCUUGCCCUUGCCCUUCUUGAAACUAGUGGUUUCACUAACCGUCAACAAUUGAUGCUCCUUCUUGAUUUCUACUUUCGCGGUGUCAAACAUCACGAAUAUUUCAAGGAUCAUCAUAUCUAUCCCUGAUAUGUUAUAGUUCAUCAUGAAGCUCUAGCAGCUUGGUGGCAAUGACUUUGGAGAAACAUCACUAUCUCAUCUGGAAGAUCAACUCCCACUCGAUUCAAGUGAUUUUUCUACUCAGACAAUCUGAGCACAAGCUCAAUGAUUGAGCUUUUCUCCCUUAGUUUGCAGGCUAAGAAAUUCGUCAGAGGUCUUAUACCUCUUGACGUGGGCACGAGCCUAAAAUCCCAAUUUCAGCCCUCGAAACAUCUCAUAUGUUCCGCGACAUUUCGAAAUCGUCUUUGGUGCCUCAACUCUAAACCGUUUAACUGAACUAUCACGUAGUUAUCAAAACGUGUAUGUCAGAUGUUCGCAACAUCCACAAACGAUGUUCGAGGUUCAGCACACUGAGCAGUGCAUUAAGGACAUAAGCCUUCUACGAAGCAACGAGGACAAUCCUCAGUUUAUGGACCUAGUCCGCAUAAUCGCUACUAUCAGCUUUCAACUAAAUUUUUUUCUAGGAACAUAUCUGAAACGGUAGAACUAAAGCGCGAGCAUUACAACAUAAUUUGCAAAGACAUUUUGACUAUGUUCAGGAUAAUUGAGUUCAUCUUAUGAACUCCCACUCAGAUAGACAUCCCUCUAGUCAUCUAAGUGAUUACAUGAUCCGAGUCAACUAGGCCGUGUUCGAUCAUCACGUGAGAUGGACUAGUCAACGUCGGUGAACAUCUUCAUGUUGAUCGUAUCUUCUAUAUGACUCAUGCUCGACCUUUCGGUCUUCCGUGUUCCGAGGCCAUGUAUGUACAUGCUAGGCUCGUCAAGUCAACCUAAGUGUAUUGCGUGUGUAAAUCUGGCUUACACCCAUUAUAUGUGAACGUUAGAAUCUAUCACACCCGAUCAUCAUGUGGUGCUUCGAAAUGACGAACUUUCGCAACGGUGCACAGUUAGGGGGAACACUUUCUUGAAAUUUUAAUGAGGGAUCAUCUUAUUUACUACCGUCGUUCUAAGCAAAUAAGAUGCAUAAACAUGAUAAACAUCACAUGCAAUCAAAAAAAGUGACAUGAUAUGGCCAAUAUCAUUUUGCUCCUUUUGAUCUCCAUCUUCGGGGCUCCAUGAUCAUCAUCGUCACCGGCAUGACACCAUGAUCUCCAUCAUCAUGAUCUCCAUCAUCGUGUCUCCAUGAAGUUGUCUCGCCAACUAUUACUUCUACUACUAUGGCUAACGGUUUAGCAAUAAAGUAAAGUAAUUACAUGGCGUUGUUCAUUGACACGCAGGUUAUACAAUAAAUUAAGACAACUCCUAUGGCUCCUGCCGGUUGUCAUACUCAUCGACAUGCAAGUCGUGAUUCCUAUUACAAGAACAUGAUCAAUCUCAUACAUCACAUAUCAUUCAUCACAUUCUUUUUGGCCAUAUCACAUCACAUAGCAUACCCUACAAAAACAAGUUAGACGUCCUCUAAUUGUUGUUUGCAUGUUUUACGUGGCUGCUAUGGGUUUCUAGCAAGAACGUUUCUUACCUAUGCAAAAACCACAAAGUGAUAUGCCAAUUGCUAUUUACCCUUCAUAAGGACCCUUUUCAUCGAAUCCGAUCCGACUAAAGUGGGAGAGACUGGCACCCGCUAGCCACCUUAUGCAACAAGUGCAUGUCAGUCAGUGGAACCUAUCUCACGUAAGAGUACGUGCAAGGUCGGUCCGGGCCGCUUCAUCCCACGAUGCCGCCGAAUCAAGAUUGGACUAGUAACGGUAAGCAUAUUGAACAAAAAUCAACGCCCACAACAACUUGUGUUCUACUCGUGCAUAGAAACUACGCAUAGACCUAGCUCAUGAUGCCACUGUUGGGGAACGUAGCAAAAAUUCAAAAUUUUCUACGCAUCACCAAGAUCAAUCUAUGGAGAUACUAGCAAAAAGAGAGAGGGGAGUGCAUCUUCAUACCCUUGAAGAUCGCUAAGCGGAAGUGUCGUGGAUUUGUCAUGGCAGAUGUCCUAGUGAAAGGACUUAGUCGUGGAGCCAUUGCUACGGAUUAACUUGAAGGGGUUAAAGCGGACACAAAGACACGAGGGUUUAUACUAGUUCGGCCCCUUCGAUGAAGGUAAAAGCCUACGUCUAGUUGUGAUGGAAUUGAUGUGGUCUCGAUGGCUAGGGAGCAAACAAGCUUCGCCUAGGCUCGAGUUGUUGUUGUCUGUCCCUGAACCGCCGCCUGGUCGUCCCCUUAUAUACACGGGUGACACCCGUCGGUCCACAGAGUCCCACACCGGUUCAUACUCGUAUCCCGGUUGGUCUCUUUCUAUUCCUAACUUACAAUACAAGCUUACAUAUCAUGCCGGUUUACGGCUACAUGUUCUAAUUCGACUACAGGCCUUGGGCCUUCAUCUGCUUACAUCACUAAUGAAGUUAACCCGGCCCAAGUAGGCCGGUUCACGCCCAGUGGUAAUAUCCCCAACAUUAGGCCCCAGAUUGAUUUGAACUGGUUCAUGUCAAUCCUUCACAAAAUCUUUGUCUUGGACAUCUUCUGGUAAUCGGUAAACCGCCAUGUCAUCAUCAUCUCUGGUUGCUGUAAACCGGCAUGACGUCAUCACGAAGUUAAUGUUUAUGACGCCUUCUUUGAUUAAUAGAUCUGCAAUACCCAAGUCAUCAGCUUCACUUCCGAAAUUUUGGCUCCUGGAUUCGCGCGCCUGACCCACGUCCGUUGCCUUAUAAAUAGGACCGAAGGGUCAUUUCCUUUUCUCCUCUUCGUCUUCCUCGCGUCGCCAGCCUCGGAGCUCCGCCGCCGCCAUCGACCUCUGCAUCGUCUCGGACCGCUGCAUCAACCUGAACGCACCAGAGUACUGCGGUAGCCUUCCGCAUCUUCUUCGUUUCCAGUAAGCCUUCUGUUCUUCUUGAUAUAGAUCUGUUCUUAGGGUUUCCUGUUCUUGCCGCGUUCAUCGCCUAUUCAUGCUCGUACUCGGACUCCUGGAUACGUCUGUGAACUCCUGCUCUGAUUAGCAGUAGCCUUUUAGCAUCCGCCUGUAGCUUCACGCUUAAGCCCAUAGAUCUCAUCUACAUAUCUUCCUAUUGGUUCACUUCCGUUCUGUCUUUACCCUUUUGAAUAUUUUCCGUUUUUCUGAACUUGCUUCAGAUCCAUUGCUGCAAUAAGAUUUUGUGAAACCUGUUUCUGCAUACUUAGCCAUCCGCAAUUGCCUUCAAUGUUUAGAUCAAGCGGUUUAACUUAAUAUAGAAAAAGUUAGUAAACCGGUAUACACCAUUAGUCCCCUUGUUGAACCGCCAGAACUUUUUAGCGAUAUGAUGCCACCUUAUAGAAAUCCGGUUUAAAUGUACUGCCUCCGGUUUAACAUUUGCUCAGACCAGCACCUUCUUUUAUCCAACAUAUUCUUGAACCGGAAUCACCUAUUUCUUGUAGAUCUCACCAUGGCCAAACAAGUAUAUGAGUGCAAUUGGGUUCCUUCUCGCGUCACAGAAACUCAGCUGGAUGAUCUAGUCUUGAUCGGUGCUUCAGACAGCAAAGAUAUUAUCCACUCGAGGGUUCCUGGCAAUGAAUGUCCUCCCACACCUCAAGAGGGAGAGGUUGUGAUCUUUGCAGAUCAUUUAGCCCGGGGCUUCAAACCGCCCGGUUCAAAAUUUUACCGGGAUGUGCUAGCCAAUUUUCAGCUCCGCCCGCAAGAUAUCGGCCCCAAUUCUGUUACCAACCUAUGUCAUUUCCAAGUGCUUUCUGAGGUAUACCUUCAAGAGGAGCCUUCAGUCGAAUUGUUUAGGGACUGCUUCCACUUAAACCGCCGCACAGAAUUCACUGAUGGCCCCAAUACCGAAUUAGGCGGUAUGGCAAUUCAAAAGAGGAAAGAGAUCACCUAUCCCCACGUCAAACUACACAGUCACCCCAAAGAGUGGAAUGAACAUGGUUCUACUGCAAAGACACCUCCCCUGACAAUGAAAAUCCCUUGCAUGGCUUUCGUCCGGAGCGGCUCAAAUUUUCUCAUCCUCUUGCUUACUUGGAUCCCAAAUUUCUUAUGAAGACUCAGCAACAUGAAGCUCGCCGCACAACCCGGCACAGCGGUCAGGUAGUUACCUCCGCCGGUUUACCAAACAGUCCGGUUCGAAAGCGCCGCUCCGAGGUCUCCGACCUUUUUAUUAAUUUAUAUCCUAAAGCGGGUUUCUUCCGUCAACCUCUUAAUCCGUCUGACUCCGAUUAUCAGGUUACUUCUCAUUCUUCUUCUGGUGAAUCGUCAGCCACUCAGCUGCCGCCACUGAAAACGGUCCUUGGGUAAGCUAGGCUAAACAUAUGCUGCUAGUAUACUGUGUUAUAACUUAUGAUGUUUCUUGACUCUUUGUUUCUCUUUCAGGGCUAAACCUAAACCGAGCAAGAAAGCCCGCCUGGACAAAGCGGCUGAGGAAGAUGUCGCCCCUGAACAGGAUAAAGCACCAGAUCUUGAAGCGUUUGUUCAUGAGGAUAUUCCCAAUGAUCCUCCUUUGCAAGAUGAUGCUAUUCCUGAGGAAAGGCCUAUCAAUACUUCAGUCCCUGCUGACCUGCCUGCCAGCUCCGUCCGGAUUGAAAGAUCCCGCAGUCCUGCUGAUAAACCGACUGCGCCAACGCAAACCGGUGAGUCCAAGGAUGAUGAUGUUGUAAUUACCGGCGUAGGUCGCUUUGAACCAGGGAAUCCUGUCGCUCUAACCAAGCAUACGGUGAAAGAGGAUUUUUCUACCAAGAGCAAAGGCAAAUGGGAUGUAGAACUGGAAACAUAUGCUGCUCUGAGUGCCCAAGAUCUUCAUUCUGGUUACUUGAACCGGCUAUAUACUAGUCGCGACUGUGAAGCUGGCCUGGUAAAGAUGAUGAGAGACAAAUUUGAGGUAACUUCCUUGUGCUUCUUCUUUCUUUACUUACUGCCACUGUAUUAAUCCUCCUAGCCCCCAAGGGCCGGUUUGUAACCUUUUUCAAACCGGGACUUGAAUAUAAUCCUCAGUACUUUGAAAUCCGUCAAUAUAGCCCCCAAGGGCCGGUUCAACUUAGCAUAGUUAAACCGGGACUCCCAUAAAGAUUCUAACAUUAGAACACAACUGAGCAAAUAGCCAUUAGCCCCCAAGUGCCAAGUUGAAUACCUGUAUUGAGCUUGGGACUUUGUGAAAUAAUAGAUGAAAACUGAAGGUGCAUUAGCCCCCAAGUAUCAAGCGUAUAACUUGUUAUGUGGUUGGUACUUCAAAUCCUUGUACCAUUUUAUUUAAAGCCAAGUACUGUUUGUAUGCAGGCUGAAGUGAGGGUCAAAGAGGACCCGAUUACUGAUUUGCAAGAGACUCUGAAAACCCAACAAGCCAAAACUGACAAAGCAAGGGAGGAAUUGACCAGCGCCUUGAGCAUCACGGAACAGUUGAAGGAGGGCUUCACGAAGGAGCGGGCUGAUUGGGCCACUGAGAAGGCCGCUUUGAUAAAAAGAGCUGAAAACGCUGAAGCUGCCCUUAAACCGGUGGUGGAUGAACUGACGACCAUAAAGCGGCAAGUGCAUGCCAUGACCGCUGCUAUCUUUGGUAAGCUCCUUUUGGUUUAUUUGACAACUUCUUCCUUCUUACAAUAGAUCCGGUUUGUCAUCGUUCCUGUACUGUUGCAGGCACACGCAUUGCCCACUUAGGAUCAGAUGUUCGGAUGAAACUGAAAGCUGCCUACACCUUAGUUGAACAACUGUAUACCGGAGCGCAGCGGAUCAUCACCAUAGCCUCUCAUAACAAUCCGGCACCCUCUUUAAUCCAAGACACUCUUAAUAGGUUUUCAAUGCUUCCUGCCCGGAUUGAAGAGCUGAAAAAAUCUGCUGCUCGAACCGGAGCCAUAAAUGCCUUGAUCCGGGCAAACGCAUGGGUGCCGGAUUUCAAUCCUGUUGAGGCAGCUCAAGGCUAUCCCAGCCUGAAGGAAGAUGGCUCCGAGUUCAAUGAAGAUGAUUUGAGGGCGAUAAACCGUGCAGUGCGCCCUCUGGCUUGUCAAUUGGCUGAAGGCAGACUUGUCGCAUUAUCAAGCCCAAUACAACAAUCAGAACAAACGAGUGCCUGCACGACCUCUUGAAGCGGAGAAUCUGAUUCCUCCAAUCCGUAAGCAUACUUACGCUCCUGAUAUUGAACCGUCUUCUCUGAUCCAUGAAGAGGCUGUCUUUCAAGCUUUAAUGGGAAUCGACUGGACCACUGUUGAUUUCCAGCCAAUGGAUAGAGACGAGGAAGCUGAAGCGGCGCAAGAUGAUGAGCAGGCUUGAACCGGAAGCCGGUUUAAAUAGCUGCCUUACGAUGAUCCACCAAAAUAACAAUGAUCUUAUUUAGGCAGUUGUGUUGCCUUGUAAUAGGAUAGUUAAUACUUAUGCCUUGAAUAUGCCUUCGUGCAUAAGUACUUAUGCUUUUGCUUGAAAAACCUCAAUUUAUAUUUCCUGCAAUCAGAAAAUCUUGAACUUCGGUGGCGGUUAUACCGCCAGCCGGUUUAUGAUCUUGAUAUAUAUGUCAUCAGUGUAUUUAAAACAUAUAACCAAAUUAAGCGAUACAAAGUACCUGCCAUCACUGGGCAUGAAGUUGGCUUAGCCAGGCUUGAAGCGGAGGUUUUAUAAGCCAUUACCGUCAAAGGGGAGAAAACAGCUCCCAUGUAAACCGUGCUGGGUCAUUACGAGCCCCCCUGUUACUCCGUGAUGUUAACAAGAAAGGUAAACCAGGCAUAUUUCUCCGGAUUACAAAUAAACCAAAUUCGUCAGCUAAACCGGUAAAAAGUAUUGUUGGUGUAAAUGAAACACAAAAAAAAUUAAGAAAUAGCCAUAAAAGAAAUAUGGAAGCAAAGGCAAUGAUAAAAACCGUUUGCAAAAAACAUGCUAUACUGAGCUGAUCAGAUGGUGUUACCAUGGUCGGACAGGACCAAGCCCCCAAUAGGAGUGACAAUGGUUCAAGUCAGCCAGGUCCCCAAAUGAAACCGUGGCAUAUAUGCCAAUCAAAAGGCGUGGCAAUGGUUCGGGUUCGACCAAGCCCCCAAGUGAUUUUGUGGCCUUAGGCCGAUCAAGAGGCAUGACUGGUUCAGACUUGACCAUGUCCCCAAGUGAUCUGGUGGCUUUCGCCUAUCAAGAGGUGUUGCGUUGGUUCGGACACGACCAAGGCCCCAAGUGAUAUAAAAAGGAAAUUUCAAGGGGUAAACCGGAGGCCGCUUUAAAACAGAACCACUCCAUGUAACCACGCAUGAUAUGAAAAGACAGAGACCCCGCUUUAGUUGAGGCUCCGGUUUUAUUAUAUCAAAGAUAAUAUAUACACUGUCAUAAUAUGUACAUAGAUAGAGCCGAUGGCUCAGGUAUAGUAAGGCCGAAGAUGAGCUAUGUUCCACGGCCUGUUGGUCUCCUCUUCUGAUGUGCGUGAGUCUUUAUGCUCUCGAAUAUCAAUCAGAUAGUACGACCCGUUGUGCAGAUUCUUGCUGACCACGAAAGGUCCCUCCCAAGGUGGGGAUAUCUUGUGCAUAUCUGUCUGGUCUUGGAUGAGCCGAAGCACCAAAUCUCCUUCUUGAAAAGUUCUGGUUCUGACCCGGCGACUGUGAUAGCGACGAAGAUCUUGUUGAUAAAUCGCCGAGCGGGCAGCCGCUAUGUCACGCUCCUCAUCCAAUAGGUCCAAAGCGUCUUGUCGUGCUAUCUCAUUAUCCGCUUCAACAUAAGCCGCCACACGAGGCGAAUCGUGCCGGAUAUCGCUAGGGAGAACCGCCUCCGCUCCGUAGACCAUGAAAAAUGGCAUGUAUCCUGUGGAUCGGUUGGGUGUAGUAUUGAUACUCCAUAGCACAGAUGGUAGUUCUUCAACCCAACAUCCUGGUGUUCUCUGCAAUGGAACCAUAAGCCGGGGUUUGAUGCCUCGCAAGAUCUCUUGAUUAGCCCGUUCUGCCUGUCCAUUGGACUGGGGGUGAGCCACUGAUGAUACAUCAAGUCGGAUGUGCUCACGUUCACAGAACUCCUUCAUGGCACCCUUGGAUAAAUUGGUACCAUUGUCAGUAAUGAUACUGUGUGGAAAGCCAAACCGAAAAAUCACAUUUUUGAUGAACUGCACCGCUGUCGCUGCAUCACACUUGCUGAUAGGCUCCGCUUCAACCCACUUGGUAAACUUGUCAACUGCCACCAAAAGGUGGGUUUUCUUAUCCUUGGAUCUUUUAAAAGGUCCGACCAUAUCCAGCUCCCAAGUUGCAAACGGCCAAGUGAUUGGAAUCAUCCUCAAUUCUUGAGCUGGCACAUGAGCACGCCUUGAAAAUUUCUGACAGCCAUCACACCGUUUAACCAAGUCCUCUGCAUCAGCAUGAGCUGUCAACCAGUAGAACCCGUGACGAAACGCCUUUGCCACUAGAGACUUUGAACCGGCGUGGUGACCACAAUCCCCUUCAUGGAUUUCUCGUAAGAUUUCACAGCCUUCCUCAGGAGAGACACAGCGUUGAAACGCCCCUGAUACACUGCAAUGAUGCAAUUCGCCAUUGACAAUAGUCAUAGACUUGGAUCGCCGGACUAUCUGCCUGGCUAAAAUCUCAUCCUCCGGCAACUCUCCCCGGUUCAUGUACGCAAGAUAAGGAACUGUCCAAUCCGGUAUGACAUGCAGGGCUGCCACCAAUUGAGCCUCCGGAUCAGGAAUAGCCAAAUCCGCUUCACCCGGGAGCUUGACUGACGGGUUGUGCAACACAUCAAGAAAGACAUUAGGCAGGACCGGUUUAUGCUGAGAACCCAGCCAGCUUAAAGCGUCCGCCGCUUCAUUCUUUCGACGGUCCACGUGAUCCACCUGAUAACCCUUGAAGUGACCCGCAAUAUUAUCCACCUCACGACGAUAUGCAUCCAUGAGAGGGUCCUUAGAAUCCCAAGUGCCAGACACCUGUUGAGCCACGAGGUCCGAGUCACCGAAGCACUUAACCCGGCUUAAGUUCAUCUCUUUAGCCAUCCAGAGACCAUGGAGCAAAGCUUCGUACUCAGCUGCAUUAUUAGUACAAGGGAACAUUAAGCGGAGAACAUAACAAAACUUAUCACCUCGUGGGGAAGUUAGUACGACUCCAGCCCCCGAGCCUUCCAAUUGCCUGGAUCCAUCAAAAUGGAUAGUCCAAUAUGUGUGAUCCGGCUUCUCCUCUGGUGCCUGCAACUCCGUCCAAUCAUUGAUGAAAUCAACAAGUGCUUGAGACUUUACCGCCUUCUGAGGCACGUACUUCAAUCCGUGCGGCCCAAGUUCUAUAGCCCACUUGGCAAUCCGGCCAGUUGCUUCUCGGUUCUGUAUGAUAUCACCCAAGGGAGCUGAACUGACCACUGUGAUGGGGUGCCCAUGGAAAUACUGCUUCAACUUCCGGCUUGCCAUGAAAACUCCAUAUACCAGCUUCUGCCAAUGCGGAUACCUUUGCUUGGAUUCAAUAAGCACCUCGCUGAUAUAAUAAACCGGCCGCUAAACCGGAUAUUCCUUGCCUGCCUCCUUGCGUUCCACCACAAUAGCCACGCUAAGUGCACGAGCAUUGGCGGCUACGUAUAACAAUAACGUCUCCCUGUCGACCGGAGCCGCAAGAACUGGCGGAUUGGCUAAUUGCCGCUUUAAGUCCUCCAACGCUUCAUCAGCAGCCGGACUCCAGAUGAAUUGAUCUGUCUUCCUCAGCAUCUGGUACAAAGGGAUAGCCUUCUCUCCGAGGCGGCUGAUAAACCGGCUCAGUGCGGCGAUCCCACCUGCCAAACGCUGAACAUCGUUGAUACACUUCGGUUUAGCCAGGGAGGUGAUAGCCGUAAUCUUCUCCGGAUUAGCCUCAAUUCCUCUGUUAGACACAAGAAAACCCAGUAACUUGCCUGCCGGAACACCAAAAACACACUUGGCCGGGUUUAGCAUCAUCUUGUAAACUCGCAAGUUGUCAAAGGUUUCCUUCAAAUCAUCCACCAGCGUCUCCUUCUGCCUUGACUUGACUACAAUAUCAUCCACAUAAGCGUGCACAUUACAGACGAUCUAUUUAUGCAAGCAGUUCUGUACACACCGUUGAUAAGUGGCUUGGGCGCUUUUGAGCCCAAAAGGCAUAGAUACAUAGCAGAAGGCUCCAAAGGGAGUAAUGAACGUCGUCUUCUCCUAGUCCUUAACCGCCAUUUUGAUUUGAUGAUAUCCAGAAUACGCAUCCAAAAAACUCAAACGCUCACAACCCGCCGUGGCAUCAAUAAUCUGGUCAAUGCGGGGAAGGGCAAAAGGAUCCGCUGGACAAGCUUUGUUAAGAUCCGUGUAAUCCACACACAUACGUCAAGUGCCGUUUUUCUUAAGAACCAGCACCAGAUUAGCAAGCCACUCUGGAUGGAACACUUCAAUGAUAAAGCCAGCUGCUAAGAGCCUGGCUACUUCCUCUCCAAUAGCUUUGCGCCUUUCUUCGUUAAACCGGCGGAGAAAUUGCUUUACCGGUUUAUACUUAGGAUCCACAUUAAGAGUGUGCUCAGCGAGUUCCCUCGGUACACCUGGCAUGUCAGAAGGCUUCCAUGCAAAAAUGUCCCAAUUCUCACGGAUGAACUCGAUGAGCGCGCUUUCCUAUUUAGGGUCCAAGUUGGCACUGAUAGUGAACUGCUUGGACGAAUCGCCGGGCACGAAGUCAACAAGCUUAGUCUCAGCCGCCGAUUUGAACUUCAGAUCUGAAUCAUGCUCCGUGGUCGGCUUCUUCAAAGGGGUCAUGUCCGCCGGAUCAACAUUGUCCUUAUAAUAUUUCAACUCCUCCGUGGCACAAACCGACUCUGCAUAGGCCGCAUCACCUUCCUCACAUUCCAAAGCAACCUUACGGCUCCCAUGAACCGUUAUUGUCCCCUUGUAACCCGGCAUCUUGAGCUGCAAGUAGAUAUAACAAGGUCGUGCCAUGAAUUUGGCAUAAGCCGGCCGCCCAAACAAGGCGUGAUACGGGCUCCGGAUCUUCACCACCUCAAAGGUUAGUUUUUCGGAUCGGGAAUCAUGCUCGUCCCCAAAAGCCACCUCUAGGGCUAUCUUGCCAACGGGGUAUGCUGAUUUACCAGGCACCACACCAUGGAACACUGUAUUAGACGGUCUGAGAUCUUUAUCUGUUAGCCCCAUGCGGCGGAAUGUCUCAUAGUAUAGGAUGUUAAUACUUCUCCCUCCAUCCAUGAGUAACUUGGUGAAUUUAUAACCUCCCACCUGAGGGUCCACAACUAAUGCCAACUGGCCCGGAUUGUCAAUCCGGGGGGGGGGGGGUGAUCCUCCCUGCUCCACACGAUAGGCUGCUCCGACCAGCGUAAGUAAUGUGGCACAGCCGGUUCAACAGAGUUCACCGCUCACUUGUGAAGCUUCCGGUCACGCUUAUCCAAGCUGGUUGUGAAAACGUGAUACUGUCCGCUGUUCAACUGUUUUGGCUGGCUCUGAUAACCCGACUACUGCUGCUGCUGCUGUUGAUUGUAACCCCCUUGACCGUUCUGAUUAUUCUGAUUAUUAUUGCCGCCCUGAUUGAAUCCUGAACCGGAAGCACCAUCGUGACCCGGCCCAUGGAAACCGGAUCCUGAACCGCCACCUGACCCGCGGUCAUACCGGAAGGCAUUAGAGUUUUUAAACUCCUGCAUAAUGUAACAAUCCUUCCAAAGGUGGUUAGCCGGCGCCUCCUUCGUCCCGUGUUUUGGGCAAGGCUGAUUCAACAAAUAGUUCAAGCGAUCCGGGUUAGGAUUCGGAGCCCCAUUACGAUUUGCCGCUUUACCUCUGCGCCGCUGACCCUUGUCCUACGUGUUAGUGUUAGCCACAAAGUCCAUGCUGCCAUCCGCUUUGCGCUUGCCUCCGUUUCCAUGGCCCGCCGGUUUGUACUGAUGCCCUUUGAGUUGCUAUUCUUCUUUCCCUUUCCUGCUUCAUCAUCGUCAGUCUCGGGAUCCUUGGUACUAUCAGAAUCAGCAUACUUCACUAAAGCGGCCAUGAGAGUUCCCAUGUCAUUACAGAACCGCUUCAUACGCCCCAAUUUCAACUUUAAAGGCAUAAACCGGCAGUUGCCCUCCAGGGUUAAGAUCGCAGAGUCAGCAUUGAUCCUGUCAGACGAAUGCAAGACUUCCGAAACGCGGCGUACCCAAUGGGUUGUUGAUUCUCCGUCCUCCUGAACACAAGCCGCCAGGUCUACUAUGGACUUGGGCUGCUUACACGUAUCUUUGAAAUUCUGGAUAAACCGGGCCCGCAACUGGGCCCAUGAACUGAUAGAAUUAGGCGGCAGGCUCUUCAACCAAGUACGGGCCGUGCCUUCAAGCAUCAUGGUGAAGUACUUUGCACAUGCGGUCUCAUCCACAUCCAGCAUCUCCAUGGCCAUCUCAUAACUCUCUACCCACACUUCUGGAGAUAAAUCAGCGGUGUAAUUUGGCACCUUGCGCGGACCCUUGAAAUCUUUGGGCAGGCGCACAUUGCGUAAAGCGGGGACUAAACAGGGUACUCCCAAAGCAGAUGCGACCCCUGGCCCGGCAGAGGUGGUAGGACGAACCGGUGUAAGCUGAUCCGCCUCGUGUUGUGCUGCUAACUCGGCCUCCCUUCGUGCCCGGGCCCGGUCCACUACAUCUUGAGCAUCGCGAACACCACCUGUCGGGUUAUUGCCACGGGCCGCUUGACGGCCUCGCGUGUUGCUUGAUAUUGCCGGUUCAUCCAGGCACCUGCUAUAGCUCCGGCUUGGACGAGGUGUGGAGUGAAUCCGAUCGCGGCUGUAUGAAUAUGCCUCCUGUUGAAUCAAAGCGGUCCGGAGAAGCUCCUUAACCCGACGUGUCUCUAUUGCUUGGGUAGAGUCUCCUUCCACCGGGAUAGCUUCCAAUCGCGCAGCAGCCGCAACAAGAUUGUCCAUAGGAUUAGAAUAAUGACCCAGAGGUGUCUGGACCGGCGGAGGAAUCACAAUGUUCUGUCGAGGAGGUUCCAUCAGGCGGGGUUGGACCGUCGCUCCUGGCCCUGGUGCCUCGAUCCGGUUUACCUCCUGGUGCCCCGGCGGAUUACCGGUUCCAGCUCCCGGAGUGUGAAAGAGAUUUCGAGGGUCGAACCCUAAUAGCAGGCAUGAUCUGUGCUUCCGCUUCAAGACCUCCUAUGAUGCGUUCUGGUCGAGCAUGAGCUUAUAGGCCUGGGCGUCUAAAGCGGCUCGCUCUGUGGCCAUCCUGUCCUUCUCUGCUGCCAGGUCGGCUUUGGCCUGUACGAUCUGCUCUCUCACCUUGGCAAUCUCUACAUCAUGGGCCUCCUGAUCCGCCGGAUUGGCUUCUGCCAUAAGUGCAGCUAGGGCAUCAAACAGGUCAGACAGAACUUGAACCGGCGGGCGCACAAGGCCUCCUGCCCCUGCUGCCGCUCCCGCUGCUGAUCCGGAAAGCAUUGUUGCUGCGGUCGAAGAGUGAUUCGCCGCCUGUGUGCCGGCCAUGAAUAUUCCAACCCGGUUGAUCUGAUCUGGGGGGUCCGGAAUACUGUCGCCAUCGGAACAGCCCCUAAUCUGGUCGUCUUGCAACUGGUACAAUGAUUCGGUCUCUCCGGUUGAGGACUCGUCGCCGGAAUAGACGACGGUCUCACCACCGUAUUCUGACUUGUCCUCAUGCUCUCCUCCAUGGAUGACUCCGACGAAGGCAUGCUUCACGGCCGGUUUAACUUGGGUAGAUUUCGCACGCUGAGCCAUCUCGACGAGGUCGGUGCAGAUGUCCGGCUCAGGCCCAGGCUCGCCGAUCUUGCCGAUGAAAACGUGUAUGCCACCAAAGGGGACCCGGUACCCGUACUCGAUCGAAUCGGCUUCGGGACCCCAUCCUGCGUCGUCGAUGUAGAUCUAGCCACUACGACUCUUGGUCAUCCGGCCCACAGCAUAGCCUUCGAGUCCUUUGAGCUUGCCCUCCAAGAUCAUCAAACCGUCGUGCGAUAGCCCCACGGUGGGCGCCAACUGUCGUGGAUUUGUCACGGCACAUGUCCUAGUGAAAGGACUUAGUCAUGGAGCCAUCGCUACGGGUUAACUUGAAGGGGUUAAAGCGGACACAAAGACACGAGGGUUUAUACUAGUUCGGCCCCUUCGAUGAAGGUAAAAGCCUACGUCUAGUUGUGAUGGAAUUGAUGUGCUCUCGAUGGCUAGGGAGCAGACAAGCUUCGCCUAGGCUCGAGUUGUUAUUGUCUGUUCCUGAACCGCUGCCGGGUCGUCCCCUUAUAUACACGGGUGACGCCCGUCGGUCCACAGAGUCCCACACCGGUUCAUACUCGUAUCCCGGUUGGUCUCUUUCUAUUCCUAACUUACAAUACAAGCUUACAUAUCAUGCCGGUUUACGGCUACAUGUUCUAAACCGACUACAGGCCUUGGGCCUUCAUCUGCUUACAUCACUAAUGAAGUUAACCCAGCCCAAGUAGGCCGGUUCAUGCGCAGUGGUAAUAUCCCCAACAGGAAGCGUUACAAGAACGUGGUUGAUGGAGUCGUACUCGCGGCGAUUCAAAUUGCGGAAGAUCCGACCUAGCGCCGAACGGACGGCGCCUCCGCGUUCAACACACGUACAGCCCGGGGAUGUCUCCUCCUUCUUGAUCUAGCAAGGGGAGAGGAGAAGUUGAGGGAGAGCUCCGGCAGCACGACGGCGUGGUGGUGGAGCUUGCAGUUCUCCGGCAGAGCUUCGCCAAGCACUACGGAGGAGGAGGUGUUGGGAAGGGAGAGGGCUGCGCCAGGAGAAGGGUGAAGCUCCCAUGCGCCUCCCCCCUAUAUAUAGGGGUGGAGGGGGCUGGUUUCUUGCCCUCCAAGUCCAUUGAGGCGUUGGCAAAGGUGGGAGGAAAGAAAUCCCAUCAUUUCCUUCCCCACCGAUUGUUAUCCCCCCUUUUUAGGGAUCUUGAUCUUAUCCCUUCGGGAUAUGAUCUUAUUCCUUCUAAGGGGGGAUCUUGGUGCACCUUGACCAGGGGUGUGGGGCCUUGUCCCCACUACCCACGUUCAUGUGGGUCCCCCCAUGCAGGUGGGCCCCACUCCAGAACCUUCUAGAACCUUCCCAGUACAAUACCGAAAAAUCUCGAACAUUUUCCGGUGGCCAAAAUAGGACUUCCCAUAUAUAAAUCUUUACCUCCGGACCAUUCCAGAACUCCCCGUGACGUCCGGAUCUCAUCUGGGACUCCGAACAACAUUCGGUAACUGCACACUAAUUCCCAUAACAACUCUAGCGUCACCGAACCUUAAGUGUGUAGACCCUGCGGGUUCGGGAAUCAUGCAGACAUGACCGAGACAGCUCUCUGGCCAAUAACCAACAGCGGGAUCUGGAUACCCAUGUUGGCUCCCACAUGUUACACGAUGAUCUCAUCGGAUAAACCACGAUGUCAAGGAUUCAAGCAAUCCCGUAUACAAUUCCCUUUGUCUACCGGUAUAGUACUUGCCCGAGAUUCGAUCGUCAGUAUCCCGAUACCUUGUUCAAUCUCGUUACCGGCAAGUCCCUUUACUCGUUCCAUAACACAUCAUCCCGUGAUCAACCCCUUGGUCACAUUGUGCACAUUAUGAUGAUGUCCUACCGAGUGGGCCCAGAGAUACCUCUCCGUCACACGGAGUGACAAAUCCCAGUCUCGAUUUGUGCCAACCCAACAGACACUUUCGGAGAUACCCGUAGUGUACCUUUAUAGCCACCCGGUUACGUUGUGACGUUUGGUACACCCAAAGCAUUCCUACGGCAUCUGGGAGUUGCACAAUCUCAUGGUCUAAGGAAAUGAUACUUUACAUUAGAAAAUCUUUAGCAUACGAACUACACGAUCUUUGUGCUAGGCUUAGGAUUGGGUCUUGUCCAUCACAUCAUUCUCCUAAUGAUGUGAUCCCGUUAUCAAUGACAUCCAAUGUCCAUGGUCAGGAAACCGUAAACAUCUAUUGAUCAACGAGCUAGUCAACUAGAGGCUUACUAGGGACAUGGUGUUGUCUAUGUAUCCACACAUGUAUCUCAGUUUCCUAUCAAUACAAUUAUAGCAUGGAUAAUAAACGAUUAUCAUGAACAAGGAAAUAUAAUAAUAAUAACUAAUUUAUUAUUGCCUCUAGGGCAUAUUUCCAACAGUUAACAACAAAUAGAUUAGGCUUCCCAGACAAAUACUUUUGCUCUAUAAUGGAUUUCCAGGGUUUCUCUCCUUCCUCAUAGAAUCUUUUGACCCAAGAUCCUAAAAGGCAGGUGUUCACCUCUUGAAGGUUUGGAAUUCCAAGACCUCCAAAUUCUUUCUUGAUACAUAUCAUCUUCCAACUAGCAAGGUGAAGUUUCCUAUGCCCUUGAAAGUCAUUCCACAGGCAGUUAGCCAUCUGGGAAUUGAUCAUGUCUAUGGCCCACUUAGGGAAUUUGAAAAAGGAAAGAAGGUAAAUGGGGAUACUAGCCAGACAUGCUUGAAUGAGCACAAGCCUGCCUUUGUAGGAGAGUAGCUUCCCUCUCCACCCAGCAAUCCUUUUCAUGAUCUUAUCUAUAAGGGGUUGUAUGUCCUCCCUUCUAAGCUUGUCAUAGUGAAGGGGUAUCCCCAGGUACUUAAUAGGGAAAACCCCUUCAGCACAUUCUAGUGUUUGAAUGAAGCAAGCAGUUUCCUCCAUUUCCAUAUUAAUGGGGAUCAACUCACUUUUACUGUAAUUGAUUCUCAUCCCUGAGACAUGCUCAAAGCAGUUCAACACCAUCUUCAGGUUUGAGGCGUGUUGUAGGUCUUUGUCUAGGAAGAGGAUGGUAUCAUCUGCAUAUUGCAGGCAGAUGAUCCCCCAGGGCAGGCUUCCGGGCAGAGCCCAGCAAUCAUAUCCUAAUUGGCUGCCUUUAUCAGCAUUCUAGUGAGAGCAUCCACUACUAGGUUAAAUAACAGUGGGGAAAUGGGGUCUCCCUGCCUGAGCCCUUUCCCUGUGAGAAAGAAAUCACUUUCACUGUUGUUCACCUUGACUCCAAUGGACCCCCCAUGGGUAAUUUGCCUAAUCCAUUGAGUCCAUCUCCCCCCAAACCCUCUAAACCUAAGUAGUUCCUCUAAGAAUUCUAGGUUGACCUUAUCAAAGGCUUUUUCAUAGUCUAGUUUUAGCACCAACCCUUGUCUUUUGCUAGAAUGAAUUGAGUGCAGCACCUCAUGUGCUGUGACUACACUUUCUAAGAUAUACCUGCCUUUUAGGAAGACAGAUUGGUUACUAGCUACCAGCCUUUGCAAGAUUUUUGAGAAUCUAUUGGUGAGUACCUUAGUGAUAAUCUUGAAGCUACAGUUCAAAAGGCUGAUGGGCCUAAAUUUCUUCAUAGAGGAAGCAUCUGCUUCUUUGGGGAUUAGGGUCAGCAUAGCAAAGUUAAGUCUGUGUAUGUCCAACCUUCCUUUGUGGAAGUCUGAAAACAUAUUCAUCAGAUCUUUCUUCACCAGCUCCCAAAAGUGUUGGUAGAAAAAGAAGGGAAUCCCAUCAGGCCCUGGGGCUCCAUCAGAGUAUGAGUCAAAAACAGCCUAUUUGACCUCCUCUUCUAAAAAAGGAGCUUCUAAUGUGAUAUUCUCCUCAGGAGUUACUUUUUCUCCCUCAGAGAAAAAGUUUUGGUUCAUUUUGAAGCCAGUCCUAUCUUCUUUUUUGAACAAUUCUUUGUAAUACUCACUAGCAAUCUUAAGCAUCUCAGCAUUAUCAGUGACUGGCCCUUCAGGCCCAUCCAGAGAGUGGAUGAUAGUUUUCCUCCUUCUUUGGUUGGCCACUGCAUUAAAAUAUGCAGUGUUCCUAUCACCUUAUUUAAUCUCUCUAUCCCUAGAUCUCUGUUUUGCUUUAACCUCUUCUUGGAGCCAGAUUUUCUGGAGCUCAGAGUGGAUGAAUCUAAUUCUAGAAAAUUCAGCUUCAGAAAGGUUUGUGGUUUCAGACUUAAUAUCAAGCUUAUCAAAAUCUUCUUGGAGGAUUUUUUUGUAUCUUCUAAGUUGGGCUUCCUCAUUGGACCUCCACCCUUUUGUGAUUCUCCUGAGCUUUCUAAUUUUAUUCUGCCAGUUCUGAAUAUGGGAGGAGGCAUUAGUGGUCUCAUUCCAAAUUCUAGUAACUAGAUUGGAGAAGUCUUCUCUAAGGAGCCACCAUUUCUCCAUUUUAUAACUACUGCAUUUAGGGGUUUGGUUUAAACCAGAAUCCCAAAUUAAAGGAACAUGGUCACUCCCACACCUAGGCAAAGCCCUACAGGAUGCUAUGGGGAAGAUCAUGUCCAGCUCAGUAUUACAAAAAAGCCUAUCUAUUGUGGACAUGAUUAGGUCCACCUGGUUGUUGGCCCAAGUAAAUCUCCUGCUAGACAGCUUAAUCUCAAGCAAGCUCCAAAUUUCAACCCAGACAUUAAAAUUAUCACUCCAUCUAUGGUUAAUAUUGCCAUUACUUUUAUCCUUGACAUAUCUCAUUAAGUUAAAAUCUCCCCCUAUAAGGGUGGGGAGGGGGUCUUCUAAGAACAAGGUAUGAAGUUUAGAGAUAAAUUCUUCUUUCCCUUCUUCAUAAGGAGAACCAUAGACAGUAAUGACUCUAAAUGGAUUAUCAUUAGUUUUCAACUUCAUUACACAACUAACAGAAGAUUCUAAAUUGGACCAGGAGACAACAUCUAAGAUGUCCAGAUCCACUCCCAUCAGGAUGCCUCCAGCAGAGCCCUGGGCUGGUAAGUGAUGCCAGGAAAAGUUUCUAUUACCUACUAGAGAUUUUAAAAAGGAGUCCGAAAACUCCUCUUUUUUAGUUUCUUGAAAACCUACAAUGGAAGCAUGGGUUUUAGCCAUAGUUUCCAGGAUCAAAACUUUCCUACCAGGGGCAGUAAUCCCUCUCACAUUCCAGAACAGAGCAUUCAUGUUACAAGUCUAGUUCUGGGGUGCUUGCCCCUUCUAUUCUUACAAACCAAAUACCACAGUUCACUAUUGUUAGGUUCAACAUUAUCAUCACUAGGUAUUUUAUUUGGGGUGAUGAAAUCUGAAGCAGAACCUUCAGUUCUGUCAGGGAUCACACACCCCUCUCUACAUCGAUCAGUUACAUUGCUGGUAGGGUCAGCAUCUACAUUUUCUUCCAAAAUAACAUCUAUACCUACUUUAUUAGCAACAGAAAGGAAAGUGGGAUUAUUGAAAAGGGAGAAGGGUUUGUUCAUACCUUCUCUGUUGGUUCUUGCAUGUUGAGCACUUUUGAACUGUUGAGCCUUCUGAAGGAUGGUUCUGGUGUCUCCAGCAACGCUAGCACUCAUUCUGGCAGCUUGGACAUGACCCCAAUUUUUUGCAUUGUUCUGUUGUUGGUUGGUGGGAAGUCUUCUUCAUAUUUUUGGCUCUUCUCCUCCACAGCUUCUUCAGCAUUGCUUCCAGGCAGGUGCAGGGUUUCCAUUGACAUGUCAUCCUCUCCAUCUUCAGUGCUAAUUCCAUCAUCCUCCCAGCUUUCCAUUUCCCUCAGGAGGCUGAAACCAUCCCCCAGGUUCCCAUCUUCUAGCAAGCGACUAAGUGCACUACUUUUGAUGUUCUGUAGUGGGUCUGGCAGCUUGUUCUUUAGUAGAGUAGUUGGGGUGGGGGGCUACACCUCUUCCUGGCAGUAAUCACUGGAUCUCCUGUUCAUUCCACUACUAGAGCUGGUCCUAGAUCCAUUAUCUGAGCUUUUGGAACUUUUAUGAGAGGUUGUAUCAUCAUUGUUUUUGCUGUUGUGGUUGUUGUCAGUUCCUCCACUCUGCUGAUCACCUGUGGUUUGUCCUUGGACUUGUUCAUCCACAACAGCAUUUGGUGGCUCUACCUCAACUUUGAUUUUGUACAUCUUACCAUGGUUUCCAAAAAUUCUCUCCUUUGGCACCCUGGAGUGGUCUUUACAGGCUAUUUUCACUCUGAUAGUUUCAUAGAAGUUCUGGAAAUUGUGCUGCCAGUCCACAUCCAGCAGGACACCAAAUGUAGAUGUGAUCUGGUCCAGCAGUGACCAUUCACACCACUUGGGGUUCAUGCUUCUUAACUUGAUCCAGACCUUUUGUAACUCUUCUUCGGCAGUGAUCUCCCCUUUCCAUACUUCUACAUUCACUAUAGUGUUUUCUUUGGACAGUCCGAAGCAGGGGUAUCCAUACACCUGCUCCACAUCAAUCUCAGGAGGGAAUUUGACUAGAAAUGUCCACUCAUCUAGAGCAUUGAUGGGCCAGGGCCAAUUGAUUUUGUAGAUGCUGGCAAACUCUGUUGCCAGUUCCUGCUUUGAGACCUCCUCAGACUCAACAAAAACUAAACCAACAUUCUUCAGCCACCCAGUGUGCUGGGCAUUCACAUCAGGGACAUCCAGGUGGUAAAACCCAAGUCCCUAUGCAGCACUCCCUACAAACUUUGCUGUCGAGUGCGGCUUCUUCCUGACUGGGCAGUCCUCUACUUUGUGAUUAAUCAUUUUGCAGAUAAAGCAACAUUUAGGCUUCAUACACUUGUCUUUGUGAUGCCCAGGGUCACCACAAUUGUAACAGGUGACCCCAGCAUAGGACAUCAGACCUGGGUUGGCAGCUAGAGCCCUCUGAUUUGCAUCUUUGCUUUUCUUGUACUGAUUCUUGACUUGUGAUCUAAUCUUUUGUUGGUUACCACCAUGAGCUUCACCUUGGUUCCCUCCUUACCCGCUUGAUUGCUCCUGGGACGGUUGUGGGGGGGGGGGGGCGAACCACUGCUGCUGCGGGCCUCCCCAUUGCGGAGGGUAAGGUCCUGGGAACUGACCUGGGAAAGCCCAUGGCGGCGGCGGGCCCUGGUAACCGAAACCGAAGAACGGCUGCUGCGGCUGCAGCCCGCUCCCCUGGUUGAUCUGCUGGUGGUCGGGAGGCCAAUUCCCUGCUUGAUCCCCCCUACCACCUCUGUUCUUGGCUCUGCCCCGCCCGCGCCCUCCAUCCGCCAUGAGAUCUGGAUCGGGGGUGGUAGCCGCCACUGUAGCGAGGUUGGUUGGGAGAGGUGGAACCCUAGCUUCUCCUCCCUCCACCCCACCUUUUAUAGGCUCCUAGAGCUGACUGUACCACCCUUCCGCCUCGUCAUUGUGAUCACCUGGCAGUCUGGUGGGUGAGUUGGCGGUUGCGUCAUCCAUGUGGCCAUUUUGAAUCUUGUUGCUUCUCCUCAAGUCCACGAAUCUGAACCCCCCUGAUGCAUCCAUGACCAGAAGCGCCUCUGAUUUUUGCUUCGAUCCAAAAUCUGUUACUGGGACGCUGUCAGAUUCACGGCUAUUGUGAUGCUCUCCUGCAGUUGUAAUCUCCAGAAUGCUUGCCAAUGAAUCCGCCUCGCUCUCAGCGGUGAUUCCUGUGCCGCCAUUGCCCAAGAGAUCACCACCCUCGCCGGUGUCGAUCUGCCUGUCAGGAACAAGGACAGCUCGCGAUCCGUGGCGAAUGCUAGGAUCCUGGUAACCAGCUUCUGUACUAAUUCGCGACCUCUCCUUGGGAUCCUCAUUGAUGUUGUCUCCGCCAGCAUCACUUCUGAAAUCUCCUCUUCCUCGCUGAUCUGAGCUUGGGUAAACGCUGUCUCUCAUCGGUCGCUCAUGGCGAGUGGGUGUGGACGGGGGCAUGGGCUCACUCUGCUUGGACAACUCUUUCCAGGCUCCCUCCACCGAGAAGAUGCAUUCAGCCAUCGCACUGUGCACCCCAUGCCCGGCUCCACAGUCCUCAUGCGCCGCACAGUAGCUGUCCCCCGUGACCAAAACUGCCAGAGCUUUGAGAUUUAGGGGUUGUAGCUGCCGCAAUCCCGAUCCGAUACUGGAGACAGGUAGGGCCAUGGAUCCACCUCUUCCGAGUCCGAAGGGGGGCUGGAAGGCAGGCGCCCGAGGAUCCCUUCCCAUCGCGCCCUGCGGCCGGCGUCUCCGCACUUCGCUUCUGAUUUCGCCCAAACAAUGAACGCCUCUGGCUGCUCCCUCGGACUGGGCAUCUGGGCCUUCUCCGCCUUCGUGCCUUAGAAGUAGAUCCUCCGAGCGAGGUUGAGCAGCUCUCGAUCCACUUGGAUCUGGCAUGUUUGAGCGUACCUCACUCUGCAGAGCUUUUGAAAUGGAUCCAGACUCCUCUCCGCAGCGAGAUCCGCCUCCCUCCACUCCUUCACGCACUGCAUCCACGAGUCGACGUCGUCGCGGAUCCUGACCGCCUGCUCUGUCCACCUCUGCAUCCUUGUUGCCUGAAGCGUCGCCGGAGAGACCGAUCCAAUCAGGCGCAGCUUCUCUGGGAAAGCAAGGUAAACGAAUGGCAGGGGCAUCCGAAUCACCGUCGAGCCCUGCGGGACCCCGGGAGGGAGGGACCUGGGGGGCGACCCUGUGGAUCUGAUCUGGCGGGGCAUGGGGGCGUCGAGUGGUGGUUGCGGGGGCGGUGGGAGGCGAGCCAUCGACGGCGGCGGCGGUGGGGGUAGGUGGGGAAGGGGAAGGGGGAGCGCGGUCGCAGGAGUGGGCAUGCGGAGCGGUCGGUCUCCGUGUGGCUGCUCUCAAAUUAGCCUCUCUCAUCCAUCCAUGGGUGGUGUGGGGCUAGAGUUUCGCCCCCACCCAUCGAUGGGUCGGGUCGGGUCGGACCUGCAUGGCCGACCUCGAGGCCCAGGUGGACGAGGGCGCGCCGGUGCCGCUGCGGAUCUGGGUGUCCCCCUCACCUUGUCGCUGGAUAUGGGGCCUUCCCUUGCGAGAGAAGGUCCUUCCCUUCCCUCCCUUGGGAUAGAGAUAGAGAUAGAAGGUGAGGGGUUGGAGCGUCGGCGCUAGGGGAAGAAGAGGCCGCUGCCGGCGGUGGGAUUGGGGCGGCGGCGGGGUUGGGGUUGGGUUGGAGCAGAGGAGAGGAGAGCGGCAGUGGGAGGAGCCAGGAGGAGGAUUUUCUAAGGUGAUAUUAUCUUAAAUCUUGCAUGUAAUUUAGAGAUGGCAAAAAGUUAUGUCAACGAUGGGUUAUAUCUUAGACUUAGGCUGGUCACAAUGGGCAAGAACAUAAGAUAGUAACUUACACACUUUCCUAGACUAUGUUACCACCUCCAUAGUGGAUAGGAACAUCUAUGUAGUGUCAUGCAACAAUGCAUUUAUUAGGUUAUAGACUCAUUGUUUCUUGGAGUGUGUGAUGUUCCGGUAACUUAGCUAGUUACCACAAGCACCUCUUUCUUCAUUAAAUAUGUGCCACAUAAGCAAAGUUGUAUUGGAGUGUGUGAUGUUAUUCCUAAGUUCCUCCCCAUUGUGACCAGCCUUAUCUUCAAUAACUUGUCAUUCCUUAAAACAUGGUAAGACAAAUUGUGCUAAAAGAUCAUCUCUUGUCUUCUCUUAAAUAAGAGAAGACAAGCCUUUUUUAUGAGUUACCUCUGUCCCACCUCAUCAUAUGUCCUACGCAGCACUCCUGAGAUAACACUAUUGUACAUGCUCUAAGCGCUGGCACCUAACAAAAAGCACGCCGUUAAACCGUGGAACAGUCGCCGGCGCGGCCGCCGCGUCGAACGAGGCCAGCAACAUUCCGGGACCUAAAUCUUGAGCAGAUUCUGCAUGAAAAGCACAUAUUGCAAAGGUACAAAGCCCAGAAAUCCAGAUGCGAGAAGACAUGGAAGCACUCCUCACUCCUCGCUACUCAAACCGGAUCUGCGUUGUUUAUCCCGAACAAAUCAAGCUUACAAACAAGGGGAACCCCUAAAUCCCACGCACCCGGCUCGUCAAGAUCCCAUUCCACCCAAGAAAGAAAAAGAAGCGCCCUAGUCCUAGGGGCAUUUGGGGCGGCCGCUCUUGGGGGAUUUCAUGUCGCGGUAGCAGGGGCACUCGUCCUUGGGGGCCAACGGCCCCGACGGCACGCAGCCGGCGCACUUGCCGCAGCACAUCAUGCACAGCCCCAUGCACCGCCCGGCCACCUUCUGCGAGCACCGGUUCUUGCACUUGCCCUCGCACACGCUGUCCGGAACCGGAACGGCGCCAACAUCUCCAGCUCCAGCUGCAUCUGCAUCUGCAUCUGCAUGCCCACCCACCACAAGGCAAACAAAAUACGUACUUCUUGUCAUCAAUCAGGGAGUGCAUGCCGGAGUGGUACGAAGAGGAGGUCAAAGAGCGUCUGUGUGACUGUGUCCGGUGAAGUUACCUGCGGCCACGGUGAGGUCCUGGUACGAGGCGACGAGGAAGAGGGCCAGGAGAGCCAGGGUCACCGGGAGAGGCUUCAUCGCCUUGUCUUUCUUCUUCAACUCUGUUUCCGUCCAAGAGAUGUUUGGCAAAAGCAGCCACUUAUUUAGCUGAGCAGAGGUGAAGAUGCAACGCCGAGCGCGCGACUCGAGUGAACGGACGGACUCUGCGGAGUAGGUUGUGUGACCAAGUAUAACCAGCAAGGGGAAAGUUGUAGGACCACAGCUGGCUGCGGUUUCACUUUCAUCAAUGCACCCACCACCAAUCUCUGACCUUUUCUGUGUAAAGAGGGCGGCCAUGAAUGCCAGUUAACGCAUGCAUGGAUGCAUAUGCAGAGACUGUGGUUGCCGUGCCGAGGACAGACAGGUGAAUUUGGCGGUAUUUACGUACCCAGACAGAUGGCCACACACCACCAAUUAUCUUUGCUUUCUUCAACUCGUACACCCACUGUACGUAUAUGCCCGCCCGUAUUAAUCUGCUUUCUGGCAUUUCUGCAAAGCAACCUGCACCUACGGUCCAUUGCUCCAAAGGCCGGCUACGCUACGAGAUUCAACGAGUCAUUCACGACUCACGGCUUGUUUGUAGUACGUACACUCGUUUUACAAUUACGCUCUACUGCAAAUCUAGAAUCACAAGUAUUCCAGUUUCAAAUAAAAAACGCGGCUGCAAUCAGUUACGCUGUAUACGUACACUCAUUCUUGAUGAACAACGUGGUGCCUCUAUCUAUAGGCGUGUGAGUCGAGCGAGCGAUCCAUACAGCAAGACGAGCGGAGAGGCAAGAGUAGCCCGUGUGCCUACGUGGCCCUGUACACGAACACGCAAGGCAAAACUGAUACUACUAGCAAUUUUUUAUGACAAAGAAGACGAGAUAAACCAAGACAAGAUCAUAUGCAUAUAUAAACCCUUCGACAAGUUGCUCACGAAAUAGAGUCUCACAUAACAGCUCCAGCCCUCAUGCUUCUAGGACUGAGUAAAGUAAAACAUCUUCACGUACAUAACCGGGGAAAUCCAUGAUCAACACAAAGACACAAUAUAACACACGACGCCACACAUGCCCUUGUUAUUUAGGGUAUACUUAUAAGGCAUGCCAGUUUUAAUCCAAUUCGUGGCUCUCCAGAUCCCGAAAUGCUUCAUCUUCCUCUGGCACAUGCACCCGCCGCAUGCAUCCAUGCAUGCAUGCAGCUAACCUUCCACGGGACGCUGAUAAGA